UAAUUAAGUAUAAUCACUAGAAACAUGUAUUCGAAAAUGUUAAGCUUUCUCCUUGCGCUCUUGGUGAUUGAGUCAUGUUCGUCUUACUUUUUCUAUAUUUAUGUGUAUCAUACGAUCACAUGUAUGUGUGUUCAUAUACCAAUUCAUUUCUAUGUUUAAGAAUUCAUUUGUUUGUUGCAGGUGUUUUACUUGAUGUUGAAGCAAGAGGAGGCGUGGUUGUUUUCCAUUGUACGAGUGACCAGGAUUGCAGCAUAAGUUGUCAGGGAAUUGGUGCGCCGAAGUGCAUCAAUACACGGUGCAAAUGUUUGCCUCCAGUCCCAGGCGGCAAGAACAAGUCUGGUGUUAAUAAGGAAUUCUUUAAUAAUUGAAUUGAAGAAGCAUGCUCAUGAAGUAUGAACUUCAAAGCAUUUUCUGAAAUAGGCUUUAUAAUAAUUGGCGGGCAUUCUAUAACACUUGUCUUGGGAUCAUCCUAUAGCACUUGUUAAGAAUCAGAUUCCAAAUAAAGGUUUGGGUUUAAAAAGUUAACCUUACAAUACAAAAUUUCAAAAUUCAAUACAGUAUUGAGCUAAAACGAGAAAAUCGAUCAAUCUAAAACUCAAUCGAGCAAUUGAAUUCCAAGUGUAGUUUAGUUAUUCCCCAAAAUCAAUUUCGGGUAAACGAGAAAUUAAGAUAAAAAAAAAAAAUUAAAAAAAUGAGCCACUUAAACAUGAAUGUGCUCAAAAUUAAAAUUAAAUUAUGCAGGAAUAUUCUAUUAAUCUUGGUGCAACAUGUUACGAUAUAUAUUUGUUUGGUAGGAAUUGGAAUUAGAUUUUUAGUAGAUUUUGACACAAUUUGAUAAAAUGUGUGAUUGAAAAGUUGUGGGACCUAUAAAAUAUGUGGUUAAAAUUAAUUGUUGACUUUAACUUAGAUUAAAGUAUAAAUUUUUAUCGAUACCAAACAGGGGCAACUAUUUUAGUUCAAAAGUCCUCUAUGAAUUCAUAUACAGAUGCCUUUUGAUCGAGAAAAAUUCAUAAAUGUACGGGAUCGUUGACAAAUAAUAUGCGAAAAGUUACGUGUAUUGUCCCACGUGAAUAAAUUCUAAUUUAAGUGUACUAGUUUUAUACCAAAUUCGAGUAGUUGUAAUACAAAAGAGAUUUUGGUGUAAUUAUUCUAAGAAAUAUGUAAUGCGUUGUUUUGUAUAAAUGAAUGAAUGAUUGCAUGAGAUUUACGAAUCCCCCUCCCCCUGUUGUUAUCAAUUUCAAUUGUCAACUAUAUAAUUAAGUUACAUUCAUUCAUUUAUUCUUGACAAUCAAUAAUCCAAAAACAUUUAACUUUCUUUUUAAAGAUAAUUUAAGUCAUUUUUAGAUACAAUUCGAUCAUAUUCCUAAUCCAAAUUAAUAUGAUUAGAUUGUAACACACAGUCAUCACAUAGAUUAUGCACAUCAUACAUGUUAUUCCUAACAUUUGUUAUCCAUGUGUUAAUCAUAUAGUAUUUUACUUACUGUGAGUCUUUUGACACUACAACAAUCAACAAAUUUUCUAAAUGGUGGCUAAUCAAUCAAGUAGUGCAAUGAAAAUGCAAGAUUAAUCAAGAAACACAAUAGUUAACUAAACAACUUGUUUUGAAUUUUUAAAAAAAAGAAAAGAAAAAAAGAAGCAAAAGGGUUAAUUGACAAGUGUAUUUUACGUGCUUAUUUAUGUUUUUUUCUUUUUCAAUCUUUCUUUCCUUUUCUUUUUACGAACAUUAGAGGUAUGAUUAAAAUUUAUUUUUUUCUAUUGAUUAUAUUUAUUUCAAUUUAUCUUUCUCUCUCUAUUAUUAUUUAUCUCUAUUUUCUAUCAAAAACUGAAUUGGAUUGUUGUAAUUUUUUUUCUUUUUUCAUUUUUUUAAAAUAUCUAUUUUUUAUUAAAUUAUAAAAAUUUAUAAUUCAAAUUUAAAUAUAUAGAUUUUUAUUUAUUUUUAAAAGUAUAUUAUAUUAAUAAUAUUGAAUAUUAAAUUCAUUGUUUAUCAUAUAUAAGUAUAAUUUUGAUUAUUAUUUAAUUAAUUAAGGUCUUCAAUUUUUAUUCUUUUAAUUUUUUUUAAUUUUUAUUCUUUUAAUUUUUUUUAAUUAUAUGGGAAGGAAAAGGGGAAUUGUGGAAACCAACACCUCGUAUAUGAGAAUUUCACAUCAUUGUACUAGAUCUACGUGAAUUCUAUUUCAAAUGAAAGUUUUCAAAAGUCUUUCAAAUUCUACAACAGUCUAUAAAAAUUUUAGAAUGAAAGUUCAUAGAAGUCUACAAAAGACUUCCACUGAUUUCAUACAAAUCUAUAAAAGAUCCUCGAAAUCCAUAGAAGUCAUCACUUAAAAAAAGUUUAUCAAAGUUUUCAAAAGUCCCAAUUGAAUACACCUCUUGAAAAAUUAUGAUUUAUUUUAUGUGUAGGAAAAGUUUGAGGUUGAGCAUAGCUAAUGCAAAAAGUGUGAUUUUGAGCUUAAUUGGAGAAUUAUUCGAGCUUUUGAAGAUCAUUCGGUGUUGUAAUUAAUCAAUUGGAAAAAGUUAUUGCUGCAAUUGGAUGAAUUCAUGAGAUUAAGCAUAAAAAAAAUGUCAAUUUAAAGUUUGGAACCAAAAUAGAAGUGUUGGAAUGUUGGAGGAUGUAGAUAUUGGGCUACGGGUAUAUAACGAGUUGCAAACCCACAACUCGCCCCACGAUAGCUGAUUUUGCCUGUAUGCCAAGCAUAGGCUGCGUUGCGGUAUUUCCUGUUGCCAUAUUUCAAGUUUUUUCUUUUAUGGGGACUCUUAUAUGAGUUGCAAACUAUAUAAAGACUUGAAUAUGAGAAAAUGAUUCCAAAACUUGAGGAUUAGAGAGAAACACAUCAUAGAAAAACAAGAAAUCAAGCUGUCAAGACUAGGGUUUGAAGCAUUGAUUUGGCUAGAAGAGGAUCUUGAUGCAAGAUUCAUCUACUUCUCUACAUUUUCAUUCAAAACUCGGUAAUGUAUUCCAUAAUAAUUCUUUGUUUUUCUUCUUUCAAUAUGUGUGGCUAAACAUUUUGUUAGGGUGAACAAUAUAGUUUAUUACAAUCCUUUAAUGCAAUUUUAAAUUCUAGUUCUCAUUUUCAUGUGUUGAUUUUAUUUAUAGUGUUUAAUGCUUGAAUUGCUUGGCUAAUAAUUCAAUAAUUUUGUGAAUUUAUAACGAGUCGAUAGGUGAGUUAUCGGUUUAGACUAUGUAGUAAAAUUCAGGACUAGUAAAAAGUGUAGAGAUGUAUUUUCUAGUUAAUGCGGUCAUUACAUGGAUUUUUAGAAAUUUAAUGCGCUUAACUAAGGUAUAUAUUGAUUUACAUAGAGAUAUGUAAUUGACUUAGUUAAAAAAAAAAAAAAAAUCAAUUUGAACUCAAAAGAGAUAAAUUGAAUACUUUAGAAGAAUUUGAUUGAACGCAAUAUUUAGUUAAGAAUCUUGAUUAGAGAAUUAAAAGUAAUCUAUAAAUAAAUUUGUGUGCCCUAAUAUAUCUUCAUAUUAAAAACCUAAUUCGGGUUGUGUGUGCAUUACGAUACAUUUGAAUAGUUAGUAUAACUUAGAAAAACAAUCACCUAACUAUAAUUCAUUUUCGUGAAAUAGAAGUGGAAAUAAUAAACUAGGAGCAAAUAAUAGUCUCUGUAAAAACUAUUAUAUCCAUUAUAUUACUUGUUUGAUAUUAUAUACUUGCGAUAGAAAAACAGCAUUUCAUCAUCAUCCAAUACAAACAAGGAUUUAUCCUAGAUAAUUUUAUAUAAAUUACAAGAAGAAUAAUGAAUAAAUAUUACCCAAAACAUGAAUGAAUGCAAUAUAUCUUGAUCUCCAAUUUCAAGCUUGAAAUUUUCAAGUUCUUGAUGUAAUUGGCAUUCAAUUUCUUUUUAGGUAAAUCUUUUCCAUCAAAAGCUUUGAGUUUGCCUUUUGUUCUUGAUAAAUUUUAUAACAUGGAUGUAUAUUAAGAGACUAAAAAGAGAUUCCCUAAUGUGUAGCUCUUGUUCUAUUCUUAUAGUCAUCGAAUUUUAGGUUAAGAUUGCAUCCAAAUUAGUAUCUAAACAGAAUUUUGAUCGUAGAAUGAAAUUGUCAGAAAUUUGUAUCGUGCGUUUGCAUGGCACAUAUCACUGCCUUUGCAGUGUAUAAAUUUUUUUCUCGAGAUUACCAAAAUGAGGUCUCGCACGCUCGCCCCGCAAGCUCUGUUAUGUCUCUCAUUAGUCGUCGCUAUUUUGUCAUAUUUUUUCUAUUAACAUACAAUUGAGGCAACUCAAAGCUUGUUAAAAGCCAAAUUUAAAGGAUUACAAUUAUUCUAUAAAUAUAAUUUUUUUUCAAUUCGAACGUAUACUAUACAAAAAAUUGGUCUCAAUUUGCCAUUAAAAAUUUGGAACAUGUAUAACUUGUGUGGCUGGAAAUAGUUUGACUAUAUUUUAAUGCUGCACUCGUUUGACUUAUAGUUGUAUACCAUUAAUCCUAUGUGAUCUUCAAUCAACAUUUUGUGGUUUGAAUCAACUAUCAUAUAUUUACAAUUAGGUACCAAAACUUUGAAUUUCUUUCUUUUUCACCCAUUUCUUAUUCCUCUCUUCUAAUUCCACCAUUUUGCACAGAGUUUUACCUAACAAACAAAAUUAAAAUAAAAUUAAGCUAUAAUCCACCCAAAUCACUAACAAAUACUCCAAUUUAACGGUCCGGAUAUACACUAAUCAAGUACCUCCAAACUUGAGCAAUUGUUUGUCCUCAAACAAAAUAUAACUUAACUUAAACAAAGCUUUUAAAUAAACAUGGUUGGAUAACUUGUCUUUGAUAUCAUGAUUCGAAUUCCUGUUCCAAAACUAUGAAGUGUUUUAAAAUCGUAUUGCUAUGAUCAAUUUCCACUUAUACUAUGCAAAAUCGAUGUGUGUGUGUGAAAUUUCAUGUAAAGGACUAUGAAGUCAUAGAUUUAUUCAAGUCCCAACAUUUAAUGAUCAAAUAUUUUCUUUCUACAAUCGCAAGAUUCACAUCCUAAAUUUAUUUUUUUAUUCUUUUCCCACAGUGUGAUCAAAAGUUGAUAUUAUAUAGUAGGACAAUUAGCAUAUAAUGUUCAUACCUUUCGCUAUUAUUGUGAAAAACGUGCAUGCCUUCCCUUUUUUCACAUUUUCAGCCUUAAAUGUACAUUUGAUUGAACAAAAUAUCAUUUUCAUAUAUUUUCUCAAUAAAAACUGUGAAAUAAUAAAUAUACCAUUAUAUUUAAAUAAAAUAAAAAAAAUAAAGAACAUGUUGCAACAAAUUUUUUAAAAAGUACAAAUAAAUCUCAAAUUAAUAAUUAAAAAAAAACAUAAAUCAUUUUCUUUCUUACUUUCUCUUCCGCCGCCACUUUCACUCGCCGAAAACAGUACCCAACCGUCAAAAACAUAUGAAGUUAAAUUAUAUUAAAUGGUACUAUUUAAAAAUAUAUAAGAGUAGAAUUGAUGUAUAACUAAAUAUAUAAGAGUAAAUUGGUAAUCAAAAGUUUCUCCUCAUUCUACACUUUUAAUAUAUUGUAGAUGAAUUAUGUUAUGAAAUAAAAUCCUUAUGAAUUUAAAACAUUAAUCCCCUAUUAGCUAUGGUCGUCUGAUAUGCCAUAUUUGAUAAUUUUAGAAGGGAUACAUUUAAUAUAUCUUCAUCAAUUUAAUUCAACAUAUCGAACAUAUUACAAUGUAAAUGUAAAGUUCCAGAGUGUUUGGUUUGUCUUCCUAAUAGUGUCAUCCAUCGAUGUACAAAAUUGCACAACAAUAAUGGAAGAGAGAAAAAUCUUUAAUUCAAUAUUGCCCUCGUAGUGUUCAGCCGUGGUGGUUGGCCUGUGGCCUGUCACGAUUGGUUGGCAAGUCUAAUUUUUCAAAUUUUGCAAUAAAACUAAGAAAUGAAUAUAAAACGAUUCAAUAUAACUAUCUUAAUUAAUAUAAUAUAUUAUCUAGUAAUCUUGAAUUUAUUUUGUAGACGUGAAUGGGUUCGAUUUAAACGAUUUGUGAAAAAUUUUCAAAUCAAAUCAUGUAAAACGGUUUAGAAUUUUUACAAAUCAAACGAAACCUAACAAUUUCACUCUCCAAACCAAACCAAACUAAACCACUUUUUUCAAUUUGAUUCGAUAAAAUAAAAAGAGUAUAUAUCGAAUAAGUUGUAUUAUAUAUAUUAAUCUAAAACUUAUGUUAAAACAUGAAUAUUAGUAUUGUUACAAACAUUACAAACAAAAGUUUUACACUUUUUAUCAUUACAAUACGACAUAAUAGUAACAUCUCAGUUGAUAAAAAAUUAACGCAAUAUCUCCAAUUUUAACAUAUGAAUUUCGUUCUCAACAUAAUGAUAAGGAUAUAGCAAAUAUAUAUCAUAUUAUAAUUAUUAAUUAAAUGAUAUAAAAUAACAAAAAAAGAAGAAGAAGAUCAAAUACGAUAAUACUAAAUAUUAUAGAUCAGAAUGAAACCAUACCAAUUAACAGUAAGAAUCUAGCAACUAAGUUAAAAUAAAUAUUAACUUAAGUAACUGACCAAAAAAUUGAGACACAAAAAAAUAAUAAUAAUAAAAAUAAUAAAAUAAUAAAAUCUGCUCAACUAAAAUUUAAGGAAGGCUAGUCCAAAUAAGGACAAAAACACAAUUACAAAUAAAAUAUAGCAAAUAAUUAUUAAAAAAAAUGGAUAAACUGACUUGGAAAUUGAUCCGAAAUCCGUUUAAUUAAUUAAGUUAUUUUAAUUGUACGAGUACUCUUUAAUCUAUUUUAGACUUACAUUUCUGUUUAUAACUAUGCUUAUUGUAGUUGGAUAUAAUUUUUAAUCAAGUAUAAAUUUAGUUAUUCUGAUGCACUAAUAUAAUAAUCUUCAAUUUACUUGGGGCUUCAUUCUCUAUUAUAAGUGUAAUUGUUGUAUGUGAUUAUAUAUUUUUAUAUAAAUUUAAUUCGUUUAACUUAUUUAAUUCACUAAUUAAUUAGUUGAAUCUAUUUAAGCCUUUAAAUAUCUAUUUAUUGUAAUAAUUAUUUUAUUGAUGGACUUUAUUAUUUUAACCCUUGAAAUUAAACAACGGAUAACAUGUGCAUAAAUAGAUCGAAGAGCACAUAAUUUUAACCUUCCAAAACUAUACUAGAUAAUAACGUAUAUAUAAGUUAUAAGUAUUGACAAAUGGCCUUACUUGAGAAUGUUGAAAUAUAUUAUUUUUACAUGGUUUGACAUGUGAAUUUUUGUACAUAGUGUAGGAACCCUAGAACCGCUUCAAAGCAUCAAAAAUUGCAAGACUAAAGAUCAAGAUUUGUAGAUUUGAAAACAAUAAAGAGAAACACAAGCGAUUUUUGGCCGAAGCCCUGAGGUUCAGUUAUUUGUCAAAAUCGCCUAAUCCCCGUUGAGCAUCCACGAAGGAAUAAGCUCGAAUCCACUAGAACAAAACACACCAGCCAAAUUACAGCAGUUUUCGAAUCACAGAAGGAACACACAGUUCCAACCACCACGACAACACUCUCCUCUACAAUACAAAGAACUCACACAAGAGUUCAUAGCAUCACAUCUACUCUCAAUCAACUAAAGGAAUCAACAAGAUUCAAGACGAGAGAACCAACAAAUAUAGAGAGAGAUUUUUCAACUCAAAACGAAAAGAAAACGAAAGCUGCGUAAAAUGAGAGCCAACCCUAACCCUAGAAUUGUUGAUCCUUUUUAUAUGAAAUAAUCAAUUCAUUUGAUCCAAUGGUCCAGCGACUGCCAAGUGUCACAAUCAUGUGAGAGUCGUUUUUUUCUCAAAACAGAAAGCAUGUUUUUCCUUUAUGCAAUUAAGCUUCCAGAUAAUUCUACCAGUUGGGCCAUUUAACAGGGUCAUGGGCCGUUAGAUAUUAACUUGGGCUUCACAAAUGGCAGCAACCCAAUUUCUACAUUCUCCACCUUUGCUGUCUUUUGUGCAUGUUCUUGUGGAUUCAAAACUCAACUUCAUUUCAUUAGCUCUUAUUACCUGUAAAAACAAAAUUAACUAGAAUCAGUCUUCUUCAAGAUUUAUUAAUCUUAAAGAAUCAAGAAACUUACUAAUAGGGAUUAUCUUAGUAUCAGCAUCUGCUGGAUUUACCUUUGCAGGUAUUUUGAUCAAUCUAAUAUCACCCCUAUCAAUGAUAUCUCUAAUAAAAUGGAACUUUACAUCUAUAUGCUUUGAUCUAUCAUGCAGGAUAGGAUUUUUACUUAGAAAAAUAGCACUUUGGUUGUCUGAACAUAGCUCCACCUGAUUUUCUAUAAGACCUAAUUCAUUAAGCAAACCCUUCAGCCACAAUCCCUCUUUCACAGCUUCCGUUGCAGCAAUAUAUUCAGCCUCGGUUGAGGACAAUGCAACAAGUUUUUGAAGCUGAGAUUUCCAGCUAAUGCAUGUAUCAUUUAUCACAUAAAAGUAUGCAAUUGUGGACUUCCUAUUGUCUGGAUUACCAGCAAAAUCUGAAUCUACAUAUCCCCUAAGUCUAAAUCCAUUUUUAUUUGUUUUGAACAUUAGACCUAAGUUACUUGUUCCUUUCAAGUACUUAAUCAGAUUUUUCAUGCAUUGCCAAUGUAUUUCACUUGGGUUACUCAUGAAUCUACUUAACACGCUCACGGCAUAAGCAAUAUCAGGUCUAGAGCAAACCAUAAUAUACAUCACAGAUCCAACAGCAUUAGAAUAAGGUACAUUUAUCAUUCUUUUAUGCUCUUCUUUAGUUUUAGGCGAUUGAUCAACAGAUAGUUUCAUACCAGCAAAUAGAGGCAAACUUACAGGCUUAGACUCAUAAAGGGAGUACCUUUUUACAACCUUAUCAAUAUAAGAUUUUUGUGUUAAAAACAACUUUCCAUUUAUUCUAUCUCUUCUUAUUUCCAUGCCCAAAAUCUUUAUAGCUGGUCCUAAAUCUUUCAUUUCAAAUUCAGAUUUUAGAUUUUCUUUAAUGAGUUCAGUGAAUUGUGACCAGCAAGGAGCAUAUCAUCAACAUACAAAAGCAGAUAGAAAAAAUAAGAUUUCCCUUCUUUCUUGUAAUAGAAACAGGGAUCAUAUUCUGAUUUUCUAAAGUUCAAGCCUUGUAUAAAAGAGUUAAAUCUUUUAUACCACUGCCUAGGGGCCUGUUUAGGCCAUAUAAGGAUUUCUUUAAGAGACACACUAAGUUUCCUUUUCCUACCACUUCAAACCCUCUUGGUUGAGUCAUAUGUAUGGUUUCAUCUAAAGAACCAUACAGGAAGGCAAUUUUCACAUCAAGUUGUUCUAACUCUAAAUCAAAUUGUGUCACUAUAGCAAGUAGGACUCUAAUGGAUGUAUAUUUAACAACCGGUGAAAAAUUUCAUUGUAAUCUAUCCCUUCCCUUUGAUUAAAGCCUUUAGCUACAAGUCUUGCCUUAAACCUCUUAUUACUAACCUUUGUCUCACUCUCUUUAAUCUUAUAAACCCAUUUACAAUCAAUCAACUUACAAUCUUUGGGUGUUUCAACUAAAGUCCAGGUUUCAUUCUUAAAGAGUGAGUUCAUUUCAUCUUCCAUCGCAGUAAUCCACUUAGGGAAUUCUUUGGAAGAUAUAGCAUCUUCAUAAGAGGUUGGUUCUAAGUCAAACUGAUCUGAUGCGAAAUCAGCAUGUUGAUACAUGGUUGGAGGCCUUAUUUCCCUCCUUUCUCUAUCCCUAGCAAGUUGGUAGCCCUACAGAUCAUGUGCAGGCUCCAGAUGCUGUUCAUUUUCAAUUAUUUCAGCAUUAGAGUUAUUUUGGGGUACUACCUGUUGUGGCUCCACCUCAAGCUAAGCCUGGUCAUCAGUAUUGUGGCUAUCAAAAUUAAUUUCUGUGAUAAUGAAGUCAUCCUUUCCCAAUUUCUCACUAGAUUUGUCACUAAGAUAAGGGAAAACAUCUUCAUUAAAGAUAACAGAUCUGCUUGUUAUCACCUUAUAACCCCUCACGUCUCUUAACCACAAUCUGUAGCCUUUAACACCUUCUCCAUAUCCUAAGAACACACCCUUCAAUGAUCUAGGGUCCAAUUUUGUCUCAGUAUGAUGUGCAUAGGCUGCACAUUCGAAAGUUCUUAGAUGAGAGUAAUCUGGCAUUGAACCAGACCAGAUUUGUUGGGAAAUUCUGUUAUUUAAAGAGCUGGAGGGGCAUCUAUUUAUAAGAUAACAUGCUGUUUUUACAGCUUCUCCCCAGAAAAUUUUUAGAAGGCCAGAACUGAUUAGCAUACAUCUGAUCCUUUCAAGAAUUGUCCUAUUAAGCCUCUCAGCAACUCCAUUCAGUUGUGGAGUAUAGCUCACAGUUUUAUGUCUCAUUAUCCAUUGUUUACUGCAAUAUUGGUCAAAUUCUGUAUUGCAGAAUUCAAGGCCAUUAUCAGUUCUUAAAAUUUUUAUUUUCUUACUAGUCUGAUUUUCAAUUAGAACACUCCAUUCUUUGAAAAUUGCAAAAGUGUCAGAUUUGGAUUUUAGUAAGAAAAUCCAUGUCUUUCUUGAAUAGUCAUCAGUUGUAAGAAGAUAAUAUCUGUAACUAGAUACAGUAGAAACAGGUGCUACUCCCCAUAAAUCAGAAUGUAUGUAUUCAAGGACAUCUUGGGAUUUGUGCAGUCCUACCUUAAAAGGCAGUCUUACAUGUUUUCCCAAAAUACAGUGUUCACAAAAGGUCAAUUUCUGAACAUGUCUUUUCCAAAUGCCCCUUGACAUGAUAAUGUUUUUAAACCUUUUUCACUUAAGUGGCCAAGUCUUUUAUGCCACAGUUUUGAUUUAUCGGGGUUUGUGACAGAAUUCACAGAAUUUUUUGGUGAAAUGGUUUCAUCACCUAUUACAUAGAUUCCAUCAAGCUUAGGAGAACUGAUAAUGUGUUCUUGAUUUCUUAUUAUAUUUGUAAAACCAUUUUUAAUACCAAUUUGAUAAUUUUCAUCAUCAAGAACUCCUAGGGAUAUGUGAUUUCUUCUAAGUGCUGGUACAUAUCUUGUAUGUUUUAAUAACAUGUGAUGGCCAUUUUUGAACUUCAACAGCACAUUUCCAAUUCCCUUAACUUGGCAUGACUCAUCAUUGCCAAGUUUUACAAAUCCUCCAUCUAGACUACAAAAGUCUGAGAUGCAGUUAAUGUUGGGCGUCAUAUGAAAGGAACACCCUGAAUCCAGGACCCAGUCCUGAUCAGUAUCUUCAGAUAGAGAUACAUAGGCUACACCAAUAUUAGCUCCUGCUUCUUUAUAAUUAGCAGCAACAGCUAAAGAAGCAUUUUCAGUAUUAGACCCAUUCUUUUGGUCAUUUGCCCUUUUAAAAUAGUCUUUAAUAAAGUGGCAUGUCUUUCCACAAUAAAAGCAUUUUUUGUUAUUGUUGCUAUUUUGUUUUCCUUUGAUUGGUUCCUUGCCUUUUCCUUUGGUGUUAUUCCACUGCCUUUUGUUAAAGGUUUUAUUUCUGUUAAAAUUGGAAUGACUGAAGUUACUUACUCCUUUAGGAUAUGGUUUUUGAUUUGAUGACAUACCCUCAACAUGGGACACUUCUUUGUGUUCAGAUUUUAAUUCAAGUUCUUUAUUCAGAAGAGAACUGUGAAUUAUUUUAACAGUGAGAUCACUCCUACCAUACUCUAGAGCAUUUCUAAUAUCUUUAUAUUUAUCUCCUAGAGCAUUAAGUAGGCCAACUACCUUCUGUUCAUCAGAAAUUUUCUCAUCACAGUUUGCUAAGUCAUGUGUGAUCCUAUUAAACCUAUCCAUAUUAUCUCCCAUAUCAAGGUUAGGAUCAAACUUAAAACUAAAAAAUUAUCUCCAAAGAAAACAUUUAUUUGGCACAAUCUUUGUAAGGUAGUGUUUUUCUAAGGUAGUCCAUAAUUCUUCAGCAGUUUUAGUUUCUCCUACUUUCCUAAUUACAGUAUCAGACAGGUGUAGGAACAAAGUGCUCCAGGCUAAUUCAUCUUGCUCAGUUUUCCUAAUUACAGUUUCUCCUACUUUCCUAAUUACAGUAUCAGACAGGUGUAGGAACAAAGUGCUCCAGGCUAAUUCAUCUUGCUCAGUUUUCCUAGCUUCAGAUAAGGUUUCUGGCCAAGAUUCAUCAAUAGCCUUAGCACAUUUUAACUGUAACAAUAGUGCUUUAAUUUUUUGACACCAGAGAGUAAAGUCUCAUUUGCCAUCCCACAUUUGGACAUCUACCUUAGAGUUCAUAUUGUGCAGGAGUGUGAAAUUGUUCACAAGUUAUGAUAAAACAGAUAUAUCUCAAUGAUUAUUUAGUCAACAGUAUGUCACAAAGUUCACUGUCCUAUUAUUCCAAUUUCAGAUUAUAUGUGGACUAUGCUUUAGUGUGAUGUGUACAAAAUUAUUGCAACCAAAGUAAGACACAUACAGAUAUUCAAAAACACUAAGCAUGCUAUGAAUUUAAUUUCAUAAACUUACACACAGUAAGUUACCAAAAAUUGUAAGUGCAGUGUAUGUACCUUUGAAGCAUUAAACUUUGACAGGUUAACACCUGAGAAGAUCAAGUUGAGUGCUAGCACAAUUCACAUAGAUUGUACAACAAUUUAUCAAUCGAAAAUAUGAUUUUGAUUUAAUUCUCAACUCACAGCGAGAUUUUUAAGAAAGCAGUUUUUGAAGAUUUCAGAUUUCUUGAACCGAAAUCCUAGUCCCCAAAGUUUCUAGGGUUCUCUUAGGGAACCCUAGACAGAGGUAGAGCUAGAGGAGGUUCAGAGAAUCUCUUGUUUGAAAAAUGGUUUUAUUACCAAAGUAAUACCUCCCAAAAAAAUAAGUAUACCAACUAUUCAAUACAAAACUAAUUUGAUCACAAAAUUCAGUGUCUGCAGACUGCAGGUACCACAAAAACCAAACAAGAAAAGUCUAUAAUUUCACCAAGAACAGGUUAGUUACAGCUUACUGUAUACCCAAAAAUUAUCACUAUUCUGCAUCAUUUACAAAUACACAAUUGUAUACGAAGUUCAACACCAAACGAAGUAAGGGAAAUACAACAGUCAACAAGAACACUUGACUAUCUCAAACAGAAAACGAUAUCCACACUUGCUGUGCCCUCUCAAAAAUUAUUUCAGUAUUACUCAAAGAAAAGAAAAAAUUUUAAAACGAAAAAUUUAAUGUUGGCAGAUCUUGAAAAAGAAUCUGCCUAUUUUUCUUUUCGACCGGUGAGAUGAUUUCAGACCCUCGACUAAAUAGGAACCAAAAAAUAGCUAAAGUAAAGAUACUCUAGCUCUGAUACCACUGUAGGAACCCUAGAACCAUUUCAAAGCAUCAAAAAUCGCAAGACUAAAGAUCAAGAUUUGUAGAUCUGAAAACAGUAAAGAGAAACACAAGCGAUUUUUGGCCGAAGCCCCGAGGUUCAGCGAUUUGUCAAACUCGCCUAAUCCCCGUUGAGCAUCCACGAAGGAAUAAGCUCGAAUCCACUAGAACAAAACACACCGGCCAAAUUACAGCAGUUUUCGAAUCACAGAAAGAGCACACAGUUCCAACCACCACGACAACACUCUCCUCUACAAUACAAAGAACUCACACAAGAGUUCAUAGCAUCACAUCUACUCUCAACCAACUAAAGGAAUCAACAAGAUUCAAGACGAGAGAGCCAACAAAUACAGAGAGAGAUUUUUCAACUCAAAACGAAAAGAAAACAAAAGCUGCGUAAAAUGAGAGCCAACCCUAACCCUAGAAUUGUUGAUCCUUUUUAUAUGAAAUAAUCAAUUCAUUUGAUCCAAUGGUCCAGCGACUACCAGGUGUCACAAUCAUGUGAGAGUCGUUUUUUCUCAAAACAGAAAGCGUGUUUUUCCUUUAUGCAAUUAAGCUUCCAGAUAAUUCUACCAAUUGGGCAAUUUAACCGAGUCAUGGGCCGUUGGAUAUUAACUUGGGCUUCACAAAUGGCAGCAACCCAAUUUCUACACAUAGAAAACAGGCAAAAUUUAAAAUGAAAACUUUUUUUUUCUUUGACAUUAUUUUGACGAUUUAUUACUCUAGAGGUCCAAACAAAUGAAAACAAGAAGAACUUAUUUAUUCGAAUUGUAUCGUCAACAUCUUAUGUACAAGAUGAAUUUAUUUUUGAAAAAGAUAUAUGCACUUUGUAUUGGCAGCACUUUACAGGCUGGCAAUACAAAUCUUUGUGAGGAUAAAAGGAGUUACAAGGAGUCCCUACAAUCUUGGAGAGAUAAGGAAGAAGAUCCUCACAUUCAAAGAGAUAAGGCCACAUUUCAUAUACUCGUAGUGCGUUGAGUGAUAAAGGAAAUUAACCAAGGAUGCUUAUCCAACGAGAUGCAAUAUAUCUAGCAUGAGAAACAGUAUAUCAGAUUGAAGAACGUUGCAAAAGAUCAGAUCCGUUUAUAUUUUGAAUUUUAGAGAUUUUUGUGCAAAGUAGUUUUAUUAUUUUCACUGUAUUUUUUUUCUAUUUAAAGAGGCACCUCUGUAAGUUCUAGUGCUCACGUUAAAUAAAAAAUCUUCAUUAUAGCAAGCAUUUUUCUCUGUUCAUUAAAAAUUAUAUCAAUUCCAUUUUUUCUUCUCUUUGAACAUAUGAUAGUGAAACUUAAAUCUAAGACUUAAUUUAAUUUACGUCAUAAGCUCAAGUUAAAUUCUCAAAUAAGUGUAUAUAGCAACAAGCAAAUCUAUAAAUUUUAUUGAUGUCAAACGUAUUAUUUUGACGAAAAGAAAAACAAAAGUGAAAUCUUCAUUAUUUGUCAUCUUUUAAUACAUAUGAAAAAUUGAUAAACUCAAUUUAGUCUCUAAACAUUAUUUUGAUCCACUAGUUUACAAUAUUUCAGCAAACUUUUAUCAAACAAGCAUUAUGUAUAUUGGUGAUAAUCAUCAAUAUACUAAGCCAAAAUUUCUAGCUAGAAUUACAUUAAUCUUCUGUUAUUGUAGUAAUUUGAUUUUGUUCUAAAUCAAAGUCAAAAUUAUUAAAAUCAAAGAAGAAUGGGUGUAUUGGUGAUACUCAACAAUAUAUCAAACCAAAAUUACAAGAAAUACUAUAUGAUUGUGAUAGUUUUGAUUUUAAGAAUGAAAUGUAUUGUUAAGCAUUGCUUAUAAAUAAAGGAUGAAUUGCUUAAACUUAUUCUUUCUUACUAGAGAAAUGGGUUAAAAAAUAUUGGGGUUUCUUAUAUAUAUAUAUAUAUAUAUAUUUGCGGAAAUGAUCAAGACUCUUAUGACAUUUGUGACGAUUAUGUUAUGACAGCUUAAAUGUAUUGAAGCAAUGAAGCUUUAUCAAAAUAAAUGAAUUAGGUUAUGAAAUAAAAUCCUUAUGAACUUUAAACAUUAGUCCCUGUUAACUAUUGUCAUGAUCUCUAGUAUACCACAUUUUGAUUCAUCAAUUCAGUUCAACAUAUGGAAUAUAUCAUAAAAAUAUAUUGUAAAGCUCAAUAGUGGUUGGUUUGUUCUCCUAGUAGUGUCAUUUUGAUAAAACUGUUUUGAUCCUUUUUCUCUGAAUCUUUUCCUCUUUUUCAAUUUUUAUUAUUAUUGAGAUUUAAACUUUAAUUUUCAUUUUCAAAUGUAUAUUAGGUUAUCCAAUCACAGGAGUAUGACGAGAUAAAAUAAAGACGAAAACAUCGUGAUGAUAUCUCCAAUUUCCAUUUUAUACAUGUCUAUAGCAUAUUUAGUUCAUCAUCACGCUUAUACCGCUCGCUUAAAAAAAUAAUAGAUUUAAGAUGCAUCAAAUAUACGAAAUUAAUGAAAGCAUCAUAAUUCAAAUCAAUAAUAAACCUGAGUCCCCAUUUUAAACACUACUAAAAAAUAGUUUUUCAUCUACGAAAGAUUACCAACGGAUGCAAUCAUUUGGUAAUUAGAAACAGAUUAUCCGUUGGUAAAAGUUAUUCACUUUUAGCUACGAUAAUCAGCAACGAAUUUUUCGUUGGUAAUGAUGAUUUUUUUUACCAACUGACAUUUUGUGCCUCAUGUAAUCGUUUAACAUUUGGAUCUUUUACCUACAGAAUAUCCGUAGGUGACGUACCGAAUAUUACCAACGGAUGCAAUCCGUUGGUAAUUAGAAACGGAUUAUCCGUUGGUAAUUAGAAACGGAUUAUCCGUUGGUAAAAAUAAUUCACUUUCAACUGCGAUAGUCAGCAACGGAUUUUCCAUUAGUAAUGAUGAUAUCUCUUUACCAACGAAUAUUCUAUGCCUCAUGUAAUCGUUUAACAUUUGGAUCUUUCACCUGCGGAUAUUUCGCUGGUAAUUAGAAACGGAUUAUUCGCUGGUAAAAGUAAUUCACUUAUCCCACAUCGAAAGUUCACAACAAAGUCUUCGGAAUUGCCCUCUAUAAAUUAAUUUAUUGUGCAAUAAGUGGUUAAACAAUAUUUUGGCCUUUCAAUUCAGUUGGCUAAAAGUUAAAAAAAUUAGAAUUAUUAAAUAAAUAAUAAUCACAAUAAUAAAAAUUAGAUAAUUUUUUUAUUUUUUAUUUUUUUACCAUGUCUCACAUCUAUGCAACUAUUUACAACAUUGACUUUUACCAAUUAUAAUGAUAGACAUUUACCAACGGAAUUUCGUUGGUGAAAAAUUCACAUUUUUCGUAAGAUUCACACUUUUUACCUAUGGCAGGAUCCGUUGGUAACUAUCAACGACCCUCAAAUUAGCAAUGGAUUUGCGGUUGCAAAUAUUUCAUUGAUAAAGAAUAAUAGCAACAGAUAUCAAGGUUUCAGGAACGGAAAAUCCGUGCCUGAAGCCAUGUUUUUUAGUAGUGAAAGGAAAAUAAAUUAAUUAAAUAAAAUUCUGAAUGAAGCAUGAUGAAGAAGAAAUCUUCAAUAUCCUUAUUUUCUUUCCACAAAAUUUGAAAUGAGGUAAUUGACCACAUAAAUGUUAUUUUUCUAUGGCUAAUUCAGAAUAGAAUAUAAUCUAUUACCAUCCUUGAGACCAUGCAAUACAUGGCCUGUCCGUUUAGAAAAAUCCAAUUUAUUAACAAUUUAUACAUACCUGUACAUUGUACAAUAAUCAAAUUGGUCACAUAAGCAUUAAUUAAAUAACUAAAGAUACAAUAAAUUAACCAUCGAUAUGAGAAUCCGUAGCCUGAAUUUGAGCACGACACCAGUCAUUAAAAUGGUCCUUGAAGACUUGAGCAAAUAUCAACAAUAAGCUGAUGGUGAAAAUGAUGGACAAAUCCAAACUACGAUUUAAGAAAUUGUCAACGCAUUCAGAGUAAAUUUGAAAGUAGCAUCUCUUAAUUGCGCUACCUUAGAUAUUUGAAUUCAUUACUUUUAGAGUCUUACAAACCCCUCUCAUGGGUUAGCCCCAUGUGGGCCUCGAGGCAAUAAAAUAUGAAAAAAAAAAAAAAACAUCGACCCCACCCCAUGUGAGACCCUGUAAGGAUCUGUAAGGGGCUGGGCCUGUACGCCCAACUUGGUUCGAACUAUUUAUCUAUACGAGUUCUUCACUAAAGGAUACUCAAGUCUGAAACUUAACUUCACUCAGAAGUUAAGGACAAUCUUAUUGUACUUCCUGUUCGUAGUUACGGCAAUAUUGUUUUAGACAGCAGUCAAUAUUUGUAUGCUGUAAAGAACAUUUUAGUAAACUACAUAUGUUGUAGUGGUUGAAUUCAUGUUUUUCUUCAGACAAAUUGAAUGGGUUGAAGAUAAUAGAUUAAAAAUUUUGGAUUAAGUGGUAUAACAUAUCAUCACAGCAGGUAAAUGUCAUAGUUUGAGCUUAUGUGGUUCAAACGUGUGAAAUAAUGAAGAUUGGACCCAAACAAAGUUUCUCGUUUAAUUUAUUAAUCUGAUUUAUAAAAUCUAAAAUAUGCAAAAUGGUACAUUUUCAUAAUAAGGUUACUCAAACUCAUUAAAGUGGAUAGAAAUUUCGAAAAUUACAUGAGUUUCUUACUAAAUAUUUUUUUUUGUGAUUUUGAUGACUUUUUUCCCAUAGAACGAAUGGUUUAAUUGGUAAGCUUAGACUAAAUAAAGGGAAGUGAGCAAAAAUCUCAAAGAUUACAUGAAUUUCUUACUCAAUCUUUCAUGAUUUUGAUAGUUUUUAUCUUUUAAGAAUGAAACUUAUUUUAUGCUUAGCCUAUAAAUAUGGUUGAGAUUUUUGUUACAAUUAUAAUUAAGUAUAAUAACUAGAAACAUGGAUUCGAAAAUGUUAGGCUUUCUCCUUGCGAUCUUGGUGAUUGAGUCAUGUUCGUCUAUAUCACGUUUUCAAUAGUUAUGUGCAUGAUAUGAUCUCAAUUUAUUGAAGCAAGAAAUGUGGUUAUUUUCCAUUGUACGACGAACGAGGAUUGCAUCUACAGUUGCAAGGGAAUUGGUGCGCCAAAGUGCAUCAAUGCAAAGUGCGAGUGUUUCCCUCCAGUCCCAAGCGGCACGAACAAGUCUGGUGUUAAUAAAGAAUGUUGAAAAUAUAGAGGUGGUAAUGAAACCGGAUUAUUACUUACCGUAUGUGUAGUUUAGAUACCAAUUUUAAGCAUACCGUAUAUGCCGCUUACCAUAUAUGUAGAUAGUGAUGAGUGUAAUUCACUCAUUAAACUAAAGCUUCUAAAUCACGUUUUUUGAUGUGUUCUUGGACAUUUUUGAACGUUUUGAUGUGUGUGUUCAUGUUGUUUUGUAGUUUGGAUAACUCUCGAGAAAAUAUCACUAUUGGGAGCCUGUGAUGAGCAAAUAUGAUGAUCAAUGGAAUGGAGCAUGAAUAGGCUAGUAUUGAAUAAGAUUGGAGUGGAAAAUAGAUUUGAAAAACAAAGAGAAGAGAAACAAAGCAGUGGCAUUGGCGCUACGGCGUCGAAAAAGGGGCGCCAACAAGAAGGAAGCAGAACCACUGGCGCCGUGGCGUCCAAUGCAGGCCAAACCGAAGCAGAGACCUGGGUGCCACGGCGCCAGACCUGGGCGCCAUGACGCCAGUUACCAUGAUAAUCGCGGCGCCAUGUUUGGGCACCGUGGCGCCAAAUCCCAAAACGUUAAAACCCGAAUUUUUAAUUAUCUUUUCGGCCCAAAAAUCAUACCCUAACCCUUGAUGACUCUGAGAGUAGAAAUACGAAGAUGAAGGACAAGAGAAGGGGGUUAGACGCUAAAGAGGCAAGAAAAAGAGAGGCACCAAUUGAGAGAAGAUCGACCUGAUUUUGGAGAAGAAGAAGGCAGAAAACUGAGAAAUCAAGCAACAAGAUUGAGAAAUAGAGCAGCAACUUGAGUUUUUUUUUCUAUCUUUCUCUUAUACAUGCACUCUAAUUUGUAUUUUAUUGUAUUCUUCUUCUCAAUCAUGAACUAAUUUAUUAAAUCUAGGGUUUGAUGUAACCUAUUUGAGACAUGAUUCAAUUUCCUUAUAGUAUUUCCAUUUAAUUUUCCAGAAUUGAUUUGUAUUGUUUUUGUUUAAUGCUUUCAGUUGUUUGAUCACUAAUUGAAUGAAUUGAUGCUCUAAAUUUGAUGCUCGAGAGAGGGAAAUUUAUGUUUGAUCUAAGAACAAUAUAACCUAGAUUUGUAGGUUUCGAGAAAAAGUACGAAUUUUUGAGGGUAAAACAAGAACCAAGUGCAUGAUAAUCUUUAUAUAUUUAAUUCGGAAUAGAGAUAUUGGGUUGAAAUAUAGAGAUAGAUUCUAUUUGACACUCGAGAGGGGGAAAUUGAAUAAAUUUAGGAUUCUUGCCUAUGAAUUCGGGAAAUAGUUGAUGGAAAUAUCUAUAGGGAUUGAGAAUUAUGUCAAGAAUACGGUGAAAUCACUCCCUAGAAAUUACGUAAUUUUGAUUUAAUCUUUAGAAACUGCCUUACUUUUAUUGCAUUAUUUAAUUCAUUGACAUUAGUUUAGUAUUCAAACAUUAAUUUAACACCCAAUUGUCUAGAUAAAGUAAACGCGGACACAAUUAUAGUACUCAGUGGAAGUCGAAUAUCAAUCCCUGUGGGUUCGACACUUUUCAAUUCUUUAAUAUACUACAAAACUUGACACCGUGCGGUUGCGGUAUAAAAUCACGUUGCAUAAAUCGUGUGGCAAGUUUUUGGCGCCGUUGUCGGGGAUUGAUUCAUUCGAAUUCAAUUGAUAUUAUUACCAAUCGACGUUCAUUUUACUUUAGAUUUUUAUUUCUAUCGUAAUAUUUAAUUUAAUUUUAUUCUUUUUGUGUCUAUUUUUAAGAGCUUCCUUGUGGUUAUUUUCAGUUGUUUAUGCGAAGGGCUAGAAAUCUAGAUCUACUACCUGUUGAUCCUGAACCAGAACGCACAUUCGUAUUCUCAGAGGCAUACAAAGAAACGAAUGAGAAGCAAUGGCAGAACAAGAUGCUAGAGCAGCCAAUGAGGAUAACCAACAAAGGGCUAUUCGGGACUACAUAAGGCCGGUGGUCAAUGACAACUAUUUCGACAUCGCACUCCCAACAAUUACUGCAAACAAUUUCGAAUUGAAGCCAGGUUUGAUACAUAUGGUGCAGCAAAAUCAGUUUGGUGGUGCUGCAAUAGAAGACCCAAAUGCUCAUCUUGGAUCCUUUUUGGAAAUUUGUGACACGGUAAAGAUGAAUGGGGUUACUGAAGAUGCAAUUAGACUCCGCCUAUUCUCAUUCUCUUUAAGGGAUAAAGCAAAGGCUUGUUUCCAGUCACUACCGUAUGGCUCAAUUACAACUUGGGAUGAUUUGGCUCAGAAAUUCCUCACCAAGUACUUUCUACCUUCUAAAUAAGCUCAACUUCGUAGUGAAAUUAGCCAAUUCAAACAACUCGACUUCGAGCCAUUCUAUGAAGCCUAGGAAAGAUUUAAAAACUUGCUUAGGAGAUGUCCUCAACAUGGGUUCCAGAAAUGGGUGCAAAUUGAGAUAUUUUAUAUUGGGCUAAAUGGGCAAACAAGGACCAUGGUAGAUGUAGGUGCGGGAGGCAUUUUAAUGGCUAAAACAACAGAGGCUGCAUAUGCUUUAUUGGAUGACAUAGCCACCAAUAGUUACCAAUGGCCAAGUGAGAGAUCGGGUGUAAAGAAAGUAGCAGGACUUCAUGAAGUGGAUCCAAUCACUGCACUAGCAGCUCAGGUUGCAUCACUCACAAAUCAGAUAGUCACGCUUAAGACUUAAGGAAAUCAACAGAAGGUAGAUUUUGUCAUGAGUACUUCUUCUUCACACCAAGAGAUAGAGGUUGCAAACGAGCAGGCCCAAUAUGUCAACAGUAGAAACUACAAUCAAAGAGGAAGCUACCAAGCUAAUCACUAUCAUCCAGGGCUGAGGAAUCACGAGAACUUAUCAUAUGGCAACAAUAGAAACACACUUCAACCUCCACCCGGAUUCAACACUCAGAAUUCUGAUGGGAAACCACGCUUGGAAGACAUCCUUGGGACGUUCGUUUUUGAGACAAGAUCACGUUUCAACAAAGAUGAAUCACGGUUGGAUAAUAUUGAAACACAUGCGUCCAACAUGGGAGCCACAAUGAAGAAUCUUGAAGUGCAAAUUGGCCAAUUGGCUAUCUCAAUGAAGUCUCAGCAAAAAGGAAAAUUUCCAAGUGAUACAGAGGUCAAUCCAAAGGAGCAUUGUAAAGUUGUUGUAUUAAGGAGUGGCAAGCAAGUUGGAAAAAGUGAACUCACUGAAGAUAGCAACCCCACAUCUGAUAAGGAGAAAGAACAAGUAGUAGAAGAGCAAGAAAAGUAGGCCAAAGGAACAAAUAAGGCCCACAGACCUUACUCCAUAUCCUUCCCUGACAACCCACCAAUUCUCACACCACCACUUCCAUUUCCACAGCGUUUUCAAAAGAAAAAAUUUGAUAAUCAAUUUGCAAAAUUUUUAGAAAUUUUCAAGAAAAUUCAUAUUAAUAUUCCUUUUACAGAUGCUUUGAAACAAAUGCCAAAUUACGCAAAGUUUAUAAAGGAAGUGAUGUCAAAAAAGCAAAAAUUGGAGGAAUAUGAAACAGUAAAAUUGACAGAAGAAUGCAGCACUAUUCUUCAAAAAAAACUUCCUCAGAGGAGAAAAGAUCCGGGCAACUUCACUAUUCCAUGCACCAUUGGAAGCUCUUCCUUUGAAAAGGCCCUCUGUGAUCUAGGAGCAAGCAUCAACCUAAUGCCGUUAUCAGUAUUCAAGAAAUUAGGCCUCGGGGAGGUCAAGCCAACAACAGUGACUCUACAACUAGCUGAUAGGUCCCUCACCUACCCACGAGGGAUUAUUGAAGACGUGUUGGUAAAGGUCGACAAAUUCAUCUUCCCAGCUAAUUUUGUGGUAUUGGAUAUGGAAGAAGAUCAGGAAAUCCCACUGAUUUUAGGCAGGCCAUUUUUAGCAACUGGAAGGGCAUUAAUUGAUGUACAAGGGGGACAAUUGACAUUGAGAGUGAAUAAAGAAGAGAUGAGGUUCAACAUUUACCAAGCAAUGAAAUACUCAGAUGACAAUGACACUUGCACAUGAUUAACUUCAUUGAUUCUGCUGUGAGAGAUGAGAAAGUAUGUAUUGAAGAUCCUCUAGAGCAAUGUAUGAUGUUUAGUACAACAAAGGAUGAUAUUAGCACUUUUGGAGAGUACAUCGAGAGCAAGGAUUUGGUUGAUUACAUAUUGGCUCUUGAGUCUACAUCAGUUGUGGAAAACCCAUCACAAUGUGAGGAUAUUCAACCGUUAGAGGAAGCAGAUGACAAAGAAAGCAAUGAAAGCAGUAAGAUCGAACUGAAGCAAUUACUAGAUCACCUUCGCUAUGCAUUUCUGGGGGAUAAUUUUGCGUUUCCAGUAAUUAUUUCUUCAUCACUCACCAGAGACGAGGAGGAUAGAUUAUUGAAAGUGUAGAGGGAUCAUAAGGCCGCUUUGGGAUGGUCAAUAGCUGACAUUAAGGGGAUAAGUCCUACAAUCUGCAUGCAUAAAAUCCUCAUGGAAGAGUCUUACAAGCCGUCCAUUGAACAUCAAAGAAGGUUAAACCCAGCAAUGAAAGAAGUGGUUCGAGCGGAGAUUCUAAAGCUAUUGAAGGCAGGAAUCAUUUUUGCCAUUUCAGACAGUGAAUGGGUCAUCCCAGUGCAAGUGGUACCAAAGAAAGGAGGGAUGACAGUUGUUAAGAACGACAACAAUGAGCUAAUUCCAACAAGAACAGUAACUGGCUGGAGGGUGUGCAUUGACUACAAGAAACUAAACAAGGUAACUAGAAAGGACUAUUUCCCAUUGCUGUUCAUAGAUCAAAUGUUGGACAGAUUAGCUGGCUAUUUUUACUAUUGCUUUCUUGAUGGAUAUUCGGGCUACAACCAGAUUGCUAUAGCACCGGAAGAUCAGGAAAAGACAACCUUCACCUAUCCCUAUGGAACUUUUGCCUAUAGACGGAUGCCAUUCGGGUUAUGCAAUGCAUUGGCCACUUUUCAGAGAUGCAUGAUGGCAAUCUUUGCAAACAUGGUUGAAGACAUCAUGGAGGUAUUUAUGGAUGACUUCUCGGUGAUUGGUACUUCUUUUGAUAACUGCCUUCACAAUCUCUCAUUAGUGCUACAACGCUGUGAGGAAAGGAAUUUAGUUCUCAACUGAGAAAAGUGCCACUUCAUGGUACAAGAAGGUAUUGUGCUAGGCCACCAUGUUUUGGCGAGGGGAUUGGAAGUGGACAGAGCAAAAAUUGAUGCAAUCGAAAAGCUACCACCACCCACUAAUGUCAAAGGCAUUCAAGUUUCUUAGGGCAUGCUGGAUUUUACAGGAGACUUAUCAAAGACUUCUCAAAAGUGGCAAAACCCCUAUGUAACCUUUUGGAGAAGGGCACAACAUUCGUAUUUGAUGAAGACUGCUUACGGGCUUUUGAAACCAUAAAGGCAAAAUUAGUCACUGCCCCAAUGAUGGUAGUACCAGAUUGGGAUCAGCCAUUUGAGGUUAUGUGUGAUGCUAGUGACUAUGCAGUAGGGGUAGUUUUGGGACAAAGGCGUCAUAAGAUUUUUCGGGCAAUCCACUAUGCCAGCAAAACUCUUAGUGAGCUCAACUAAAUUACACAACAACAGAGAAGGAAAUGCUAGCAGUAGUGUUUGCAUGUGACAAAUUUAGAUCUUACCUCAUUGGCACCAAAGUUAUAAUUUACACGGACCAUGCUGCAAUCCGUUAUCUCUUUCAAAAGAAGGAUGCCAAGCCACGCCUAAUUCGAUGGAUACUGCUACUACAGGAAUUUGAUGUAGAGAUUCGGGAUAAGAAAGGCAGUGAGAAUGUCGUUGCAAACAAUCUCUCACGAUUGGAGAAUGAAAAGGUGGUGGAUGAUAGCCAAAUUCGAGAAACGUUCCCUUUUUUUUUUUAUAUCCUGGGGAGAUAAUUUGCACUAUAGCUUGCCUCGAUACCGAAUGGAAAGGAUCAGCUAGUGAUGUAACCCACUUCCCUUCAUCUGGUCUGAUACCUAACUGUAAAAUCUGGCACCACUUCAUAUCAUCCAAACUGAUACCCAGUAGCAACACCAGUGAGGUCACAAAGGAACGGACCUUACUGAAUUUUGUGAUUCAAAAAGGAUAUUUUGUUGAUAUUGGCUGAGUCAUUCAAAAUAGCAUUCUUCGCAUCCUUGCCGGGCCCGCUACAGGCAGUCUGGGUCACCCAUCUUUAAUCCAUGACCUUUGCAUACAUGGGGGUGUGUCCGUGCGCAAAACUGAUGAAGUGUUACACCCGAAACAACCACUUACACGGGACCUCCGUGAUAGGCAUGUGGGACAUCGGGAAGUGCCUAGCUCUUUUCAAUCAUCUCGUACGUUACCUCCGAUACCAUCGCCUCCACAACCUUCUGAUGCUAUGGGGGACAUCCUUCGGCGUCUUGAAGCCAGGGAUUUGCGCAUGACCCAAUGGCAGAAUGGCAUGCAAGUACAAAUAAAUCAUCUACAAUCCACCAUCUUUGACCAAUUUCAAUACCAGAACGCUUGCAUGGCGGUUAUGGCAUCUGCACAUCCCGAGUUCACCUUCCCUCCAUCGCCAUCACUUCCACCUCAUUCCCACCCACCUGCUCCACCUGAUGAAGAGGAAGACAAUUGAUGUCGUCACUGAGGUAUUACUCUUCCCCUUCUUUCAUUUUCACAUUGGGGCAAUGUGUAGUUUAAGUUUGGGAGGGUAUCUUAAUUGUCUAAAAUUGCCUUUUUUUAUUUUGUAUGAUUGGGUGCAUCUAUAAAAAAAAAAAAAUUCAUUUCGUGUUUUGCAUACUUAUGUGAGCUAGAUAGCCUUGUCGGCGAUGAUGUAUAAUAUUAAGAACAUGUAUUGGUUCAUGGAUCAUGGAUAAGUUAUAUGUGUGAGUUAGAUUUUUGUUUAUUCGUGUGAAACGGAAAUUAUUUUUGCAUGUGGGUUGAUUGUAGCGUUGUACAUGAGUAGGUUGAUUCAUGUUUAUAGGUUGAAUAAGAGAACUUGGACACUAAAUCCAAACAACCUUUAAACAUUAUUAUACCCUUAAACAAAAUAUAGGCUGUUUGGUAGGUUAAGUUGUUGCAAGGAAACUUGGAGAUAAAUGUGGAUUUUAUGUGUGCUAAAUUUUGUGUGGAUUGUCUGAGACUAACAAGAUGAAAAUUGGAUGAAAACUUUAAGUUAGAGGUCGAUUUUCGAGAAUAUGUGUUUAAUAAGGGGUAUUGCACUAAUCAUUGAAUAAAAAAGAUCCCAAUGAGGACAACUUUAAUAAUCUCAUUGUGAAUCGUCUCUUCGUAGCCUUUAUGACUUGAGUGAUUAAGCCUGUAAGGGUUUAAAACCUGGUACCCUAAAGUCGUCUGAUUUGGGAGUUAUCGGCCUAAAGCUCGUUACAAGGGUCAUUUAGAAAGCUUGAGAGAGUAACGUCCACACAAAGGGUGUUUAAAAAAAAAUUAUAUAUUACAUGCCUUGAUUAAGCCCCGAACACUUGUUUUAGAGGAUUAAACCUUUGAUGAGAGAUUAGUAACUUGGUUGAUUCUUAGAGGUUGAAGCAGUAAAAAAUAAGGAGAAUCCUCAUCUGUUGAUAAGUUGAACUGCAAUAGUGAAAUCUAACCAAACUUGAGCGGUGUAAGAAAUUAGCAUUGAAAAAAAAAAUCAACUUUAGAAUACACCUUGGAAAGACAAAAGAAAACAAGUUUGGGGGUGUGUGAAUCCCACGAGCGAAGUAAGGAAAAAUUUGACUUCUAAGGUCGGGAAUUGGGUCAACUUAUUAUUGUACAGCGUUGCACUUGACUCUCCACACACACACACACACCCGUUUUGGAUUGAAUAUGUGAGAAUUUAGCUUUUGCAUUAGAGCUUUGAAGUGAUUCAUGGAAUCGAAGUUAUGUUUUUAAUCCUCAGACAUGAAGGCAAGCUAUCUAGCAAAAUUUAUUUUAAGUGAUUUUGUUUGUCUUAGUUGUGCUUGUGUGUCCAUUAAUUAUUUUUAUUGGUUUUGGUGUUUGCUCGAGGACAAGCAAAGAACUAAGUUUGGGGGUGAUUGAUGAGUGUAAUUCACUCAUUAAACUAAAGCUUCUAAAUCACGUUUUUUGAUGUGUUCUUGGGCAUUUUGAACGUUUUGAUGUGUGUGUUCGUGUUGUUUUGCAGUUUGGACAACUCUCGAGAAAAUACAACUAUUGGAAGCCUAUAAUGAGCAAAAAUGAUGAUCAAUGGAAUGGAGCAUGAAUAAGAAAGUAUUGAAUAAGAUUGGAGUGGAAAAUAGGCUUGGAAAACAAAGAGAAGAGAAGCAAAGCAGUGGCAUUGGCACCACGGCUCCAAAAAAGGGGUGCCAUGGCGCCCAAUGAAAGCUAAACCGAAGCAGAGACCUGGGCGCCACGGUGCCAGUUACCAUGAUAAUCGAGGUGCCAUGGCGCCAUGUUUGGGCGCCGUGGAGCCAAAUCCCAAAACAUUAAAACCCGAAUUUUUAAUUAUCUUUUCGGCCCAAAAAUCAUACCCUAACCCUUGCGGACUAUGAGAAAAUAGAAAUACGAAGAUGAAGAACAAGAGAAGGGGGUUAGAUGGCUAAAGAGGCAAGAAAAAGAAAAGCACCAAUUGAGAAAAGAUCGACCCGAUUUUGGAGAAGAAGAAGGCAGAAAACUGAGAAAUCAAGAAACAAGAUUGAGAAAUAGAGCAGCAACUUAAGUUUUUUUCUAUCUUUCUCUUAUACAUGCACUCUAAUUUGUAUUUGGGCGCCGUGGAGCCAAAUCCCAAAACAUUAAAACCCGAAUUUUUAAUUAUCUUUUCGGCCCAAAAAUCAUACCCUAACCCUUGAGGACUAUGAGAAAAUAGAAAUACGAAGAUGAAGAACAAGAGAAGGGGGUUAGAUGGCUAAAGAGGCAAGAAAAAGAAAAGCACCAAUUGAGAAAAGAUCGACCCGAUUUUGGAGAAGAAGAAGGCAGAAAACUGAGAAAUCAAGAAACAAGAUUGAGAAAUAGAGCAGCAACUUAAGUUUUUUUCUAUCUUUCUCUUAUACAUGCACUCUAAUUUGUAUUUUAUUGUGUUCUUCUUCUCAAUCAUGAACUAAUCUAUUAAAUCUAAGAUUUGAUGUAACCUAUUUGAGACAUAAUUCAAUUUCCUUAUAGUAUUUCCAUUUAAUUUUCCAAAAUUGAUUUGUAUUGUUCUUGGUUAAUGCUUUCAGUUGCUUGAUCACCAAUUGAAUGAAUUGAUGCUCUAAAUUUGACGCUCGAGAGAGGGAAAUUUAGGCGUGAUCUAAGAAUAAUAUAACCUAGAUUUGUAGGUUCCGAGAGAAAGUACGAAUUUUUGAGGGUAAAAUAAGAACCAAGUGCAUGAUAAUCUUUAUAUAUUUAAUUCGGAAUAGAGAUAUUGGGGUUGAAAUAUAAAGAUAGAUUCUAUUUGACACUCGAGAGGGGGAAAUUGAAUUAAUUUAGGAUUUUUGCCUAUGAAUUCGGGAAAUAGUUGAUGGAAAUAUCUAUAGGGAUUGAGAAUUAUGUCGAGAAUACGGUGAAAUCACUCCCUAGACAUUACGUAAUUUUGAUAUAAUCUUUAGAAAUUGCUUCACUUUUAUUGCAUUAUUUAAUUCAUUGACAUUAGUUUAAUAUUCAAGCAUUAAUUUAACACCCGAUUGUCUGGAUAAAGUAAACGCAAACACAAUUAUAGUACUCAGUGGAAGUCGAAUACCAAUUCUUGUGGGUUCGACACUUUUCAAUUCUUUAAUAUACUACAAAACUUGACACCGUGCGGUUGCGGUAUAAAAUCACGUUGCAUAAAUCGCAUGGCAGAUAGCUUAUCGUAUAUGCAGCCUACCGUAUUUGCAAGCAACUUGCCGUAUUUGCACCUUACCAUAUUUGCAGCUUACCGUAUAUACUGUCUACUGUAUUUGCAGAAAACUCACCGUAUUUGCACAAAAAUUUCACAAACUGUUUUUAUUCCAUUUCAUAUACAGUGAGUGAUUUGCACAUAUUUGCUAGAUACCGUAUAUACAACUAACAUACCGGAUAUGCACUUACAUACACGAAAAUGUAAAAAUACCGUAUUUGCAUAUAUUAUCUAAAUAAAUACCGGUUGGACAAAUACCAAACCUAAUGUUAUUAAAUUGAUUUAUUAUCUUCAGAUUUUUUUCGACAUACAGAUAAUAAAAUGUAAAAUUAUAUGAAACACAUAUAAUAAAAUAAACUGGAAAAUCUACGAAACAUAAAAUUAAACUGCAAAUAUGUAAAUCGCUAAAUAAAUAAAUAUGUGAAUUGCAGAAAAUAAAUAAAUCUUUAACUCGAGGCCUGUGCUAACACAAUUUCCUUAAAACAGAUUCGUCCCCUCACCAUAAGUGUUUGAGGUCUAAUCCGAGCUUCUGUUCCAUAGGAUACAAUGGUAAAACCCGUAAAAUCUGAGUAUCGCAGAAACUACUCCAACGAACUGAUUUAGCGUCUGAACAAUAUCACCAUCACAACUUUGGACAGAAACUGAGAUUACGUAUACAGACUAAAAAAAUUAUGCAGUAUGCAGACUAUAUUUGUGUGUGCAGACACAAUUUCUUUUUUUCUCUUGUAUUUUCGAGUAUGCUGGAAUUGUCGAAAAAAUUAUGAGAUUUAAUAUAUAAAAUAAAUCAGCCAUUAACUCUGGCAAUAAACAUUGGAGUCACUUCAAUUUCUGCCGGAGUUUUGACAAUUUUCGAAAAUUCAAAGAUCAGUUGGAGAAAGCAAAAAAUUGCAAAACGUAGACACUCCAACGGGCCAAUUUUUGCUCCAGUCGGUCCAACAUUCAUAUACGCAGGUCGCGCUCGCACACAAGUUCAAGGUCCGAAGGAAAUUUCGGUCCAUGAUUUGCACCCCCUGUGCGCGCACAUGAAGAGAGUCUCUAUGCUAUACAUAAUUACACCAUUCCAAUGUACAACCAUAUUUAAAGUGGUUCUUGCUUUCAUAUUUUUCCUAUGUGGGACUAAUGCAAUUUCUCGCUUAAACCAUCUUUCAAUGGUUAUCUUUGAGGUCCAAUUUCUCAUUCAACCGAACUUCAUUUUUGGAAAGUAAAUAUAUGAUUUUGAUGCUCUCACAGAGGAGAACACGGAUCAACUUUGAUCUUCCAAAUUGGACCAACGGGUCCCACCAAAAAUAUUGCCAAAAGUGAACUAUUUACUCAUUUUUUCCAACAAUCCCCCAAAUAAAUGAAAAUUGGAAGAGACACGAGACCAUGAGAUACAAGACGUGAUUAUAAAGUUCAACGGUUGAAGCCUGCAUAUGAUAGGUAGGUAUUACCCUUUGAACCUUCUCUUAUGAAAGCGUAUUUACUUUUCUAGCUAAUCAGUAGACGUGUUGUCCUUGAACUGUUCUGUCAUUUAUGUAAACGAUGAUAUACUCCACACAAGAUUCUUCCUAACACAAUUCAGUUCUCAUUAUUAUGUUCGUUUUGGCCAUGAACAUAUGACUGUUUUUGUGAGAGUUCUUAAAAACUGAGCCCCACACAAUUCUCUUAGAAGUAGCCCCACUUCUUUCUCAUAAAAGUGAUUUCUUAUUACAAGUAACCCGCAUUACUUGGCUCGAACUCUGAUGCAUAAGAAUCAUUAAAAUCCUAUUACUUAUCCUUCAUCCUUAUGGGCAUCACUGUUACAUCAUAGGAAUGGACAGGAGGAAACACCCCCACAGUGCUUUUAUUAAGCCUUUACAAUUAGGUUAUUCAUUCAAAGGCUUAAGUCUCAUUCAUCGAUGAUUUUCGAACUAACUUUCUAUUUAACCUUUGGGUUAGCGGGUCCACAAUGUUAUCUUUUGACCUUACAUAGUCAAUAGUGAUCACUCCGAUUGAGAGUAGUUGUCUUAUGGUAUUGUGUCUACGACGUAUAUGUCUAGACUUACCAUUAUACAUGUUACUCCGUACCCUUCCUAUUGCUGAUUGACUGCCAUAAUAUAUGUAAAUCGCUGUCACAGGCUUUGAUCAUCUUGGAAUAUCCUCUAAGAAAUUGCGCAAUCAUUCGACCUCUUCACCAUAUUUAUCUAGAGCUAUAAACUCAGAUUUCAUUAUAGAUAUGGCUAUAAUUGUUUGCUUAGAGGAUUUUCACGAUAUGGCAGCACCUCUUAAUGUGAACACAAAUCUACUGGUGGACUUUGAGUCUUUUAUAUUAGAUAUCCAAUUAACAUCACUGUAUCCUUCAACGACCGUUGGAUAUUUGGUAUAAUGUAGUCCAUAGUCACGAGUACAUCUUUAGUACCUUAGUACUCUUACUGUUCCUUUCAAGUGAUCAGCUCCUGGAUUACUCGUAUAUCUACUCAAUUUACUGACUGCGUAGGCUAUGUCUGGUCUUGUACAACUCAUUAAGUACAUUAGACUUCCAAUAACUCUCGGGUAUUUUACUUGAGAGACACUUUCAUAUUUGUUUUUAGAUAGAUGUUAACUUGUAUCUAUCGGUGUUCUAGCUAAGUCAGUAUCAUUCUUAUUGAACUUUUUCAAAAUUUUGUCUACAUAAUGUGACUGACUUAGAACCAACCCAUCUGAUAUUCUUGAGAUUUUGGCUCCAAGUAUAACAUCAGCUAAACCCAUAUCUUUCAUGUUAAAUCUCGAAUUCAACAUAUUUUUAGUGGAUUCAAUCAUCUUAUUAUCACUACCAACAAUAAGCAUGUCGUCAUCGUAAAGAUAUAAAAUAACAUAACCAUCUUUAGUAUCUUUGAAGUAAACACAUUUGUCACACUCAUUGAUUUUAAAUCCACUCUCUAUCAUGAUAUUAUCAAAAUUUUCAUGACAUUGUUUGUGUGCUUAUUUCAAGCCAUAUAGUGAUUUUACAAACUUACAAACUUCCUUUUCCUGCCCUGGUGACGAAAACCGCUCGGAUUGUUUCAUAUAGAUUUCUUCUUCUAAAUCUCCAUUUAAAAAGGUAGUUUUCACACCCAUUUGAUGUACUUCAAGAUUUUCAAAGCGGCAAUCGCAAGUAUCAACCUAAUAGAUGUUAUUCUCUUCACUGGAGAAUACGUAUCAGAGUAAUCAAAGCAUUCUUUUUGUUUGUAACAUUUUAUUACUAAUUCGGCCUUGUACUUUUCGAUAGUUCCAUUUGUUCUCAUUUUCCUUUUGAUAAUCCAUUUAUAGCCUAGUAGUUUGCUUUCUGGAGGAAGAUCCACUAGCUCCCAUGUAUGAUUUUGUAGUAUGGAAUCUAUUUGACUUUUAAUGGCCUCCUUCCAUUGAGGUCCUUCCGAGGAAUUCACAGCCUCUUAAUAACUUUGAGUUUCACUUUCUAACAUAUAAGUCAGAAAAUCAGGACCAUACGAUUUUCUGCCAUUACUUGUUUGCUAUGUCUAACCUCAGUCUCCUCUUCUAGUUCGUCGUCAUGACUAUAUUCAGUUAUAAUCUCAUAUGUUCGUUUAGAGGAGUUUGCUUCCUGUUUGGACUUGUAUAGAAAUACCUGUUCAAAGAAUGAAAUAUUUAUUGAUUCUAAUAUCGUGUUUUUAUGUAUGUCUGGGAUUUUAGAAUCGUACACAAGAAAUCGAUAAGUAGUACUAUUAUGUGCAUAGCCAAUGAAGAUGCAAUCUACUAUUUUUGGCCCUAUCCUUACCUUCUUUGGUGUUGGAACGGCCACUCUAGUAAGAGACCCCCACAUUCGUAAGUAUUUAUAGGAAGACUUUCUUCCUUUCCAUAACUCAUAAGGGGUAUUUUCCAUUUUCUUUCGGGGCACCUUAUUUAAAAGGUAAUUUGCUGAUAACACAGCUUCCCCCCACAUAUUUUGAGGAAACCCAAAACUUACAAGCAUUCAUCAUUUUUUUAAAGUACGAUUUUUCCGUUCAGAAACACCGUUUUGUUACAGUGAAUAAGGUACGACAGUUUCAUGUAUGAUUCCGUGUUGUGCACAGAAUUCCACAAUUGAUGAUUCAUACUCACCAUCUCAAUCGCUUCUUAACACCUUAAUUUUCCUAUUAAGUUGAGUUUCAACUUCAUUCUUAUAGAGAACAAAUUUCUCUAUAACUUCAUCUUUACUUUUUAGUAAAUACACAUAACAGUAUUUGGUACUAUUAUCGACAAAGUAAUGAAAUACUUGUUGCCACAUUUUGUUUGUAUAAGUUUCAAGUCAUAUACGUCAUUGUGAAUUAAAUCAAGUGGUUCUGUGUUCCCUUCAAUUGAUUUAAACGACGACCUUGUCAAUCUUAUCUCAGCAUAAGUUUCACACUUAUGUUUUGAAUUAAUGUGGAACUCGGGUAUGCAAUUCAAGUAAACUAGUUUUAGUAAAGUAUCAUAGUUAAUAUGUCCUAGUUUACCAUGCCACAAAUUGGAAGACUCAAACAAAUAAGCAGAAGAGUUUGCUUUAUUUAUUUUUGGUUUAACAACCAUUACAUUGAGUUUAAACAUACCGUCGGAAACAUAUUAUUUCCGGACAAACAUUCCAAUUUUUGACAAAAUAAUCUUGUCUGACUCAAAUAAAAUGCGAAAGCAAUGCUUAUUCAAAGACGACCUGAACACUAGGUUCUUGCGAAUUUCUAGCACAUAUAGCACAUUGUUGAGAGUCGGCUCUUUUCCUGAGGUCAUUUUCAGAACCACCUUUCCUUGUCCCUUGAUUUCAGAAGUUGCUGAAUUUCCCAUGAACAAUUUAUCCCUAUUCUCAAUUGCUUCAAACGCAUCAAAUAGCUCCUUAUCAGAGUACACGUGCCUCGUAGUACCGGUGUUAAUACACCAUUCCUUAGGGUUUGAACCCACCAUGUUCACUUCAGAAAUGACACAUCUUGUGCCAUGUAGUGAACUAUACUUGCUUCUUUUUUCUUCUUUAGCAAUCUGCACUACGAAAACUUGUGGCCCACUUUGUCAAAAUUGAAGCAUUUUCCUUAAAAUUUAUUCUUAGAAAUUUGAUCUUUCAAUCCUUGCUUGGUCCUUUUACCACCGUUUGGCCCAAACUUGUUUUUGUAGUUCUUACUACGUUGACCAAGCUCCACAACAUUGGCUUUAGCCAUACCAGGAUUGAACCAUUUCUUUUCAAAACUCUUGUUGUCUUCUUCAAUUCGAAAUCUAACAAUUAGUUCUUUGACGUUCAUUUCCUUUCAUUUGUGCUUCAAAUAAUUCUUGAAAUAUUUCCAUGCGGGGGGCAAUUUCUCAAUAAUUGCAACCACUUGAAAAGCUUCACUCAAGAUCAUCCCUUCGGCAUGAAUUUCGUGAAAAAUCACUUGGAGUUCUUGCACUUAACUGAUAACUGUUUUGGAGUCCACCAUUUUAUAAUCUAAGAAUCUGUCAACAAUGAACUUUUUGGCUCCUACAUCCUCAAUUUUAUAUUUUCGGUCCAAUGGCUCCCACAACUCUUUAGCAAUUUUCAUAUUGCUAUACACAUUGUACAUCGUGUCUGCUAAACAGUUCAUAAUAUAGUUUCGGCACAAAAAAUUCGAAUGGUUCUAAGCAUCAAGUGCAUUGAUUGUUUAAACAUCUCUCUUACCCUCAUUGAGUUUUGGAGUAGUCUUAGUCAAAAAUCUUGCAAGAUUCAAAGUGGUCAGAUAAAAUAGCAUUUUCUGCUGUUACCUUUUGAAAUUCAAGCCAUUGAAUUUUUUCAAUUUUUUUCCAUGAUUAACCGAAACAUUAAUGGUAUGGCCAGUUGUUGGAGUCACAGUUUGACUCACAACAUGACUUGACAAUUUAGCCACAGUCCGAACCACAAUAGAGCUUGGCCCUUGAGCCACAACUGAGCCCAUAGCCUAAUUUUCAGUAGCACAGUUUGGGUCACAUCCAUGUUGGUCGAUUCGGUUGCCAUUUUUGAAAAUCAAACAAAAAAAUUAGUCUCCAUAAAUUAAUAGUAUAAGAAACUAAUUUUUUUCUUUAUGAAUCUGUUUUAAGUUUGUUGGAAAUAUAGAGGUGGUAAUGAAACCGGAUUAUCACAUACCGUAUGUGUAGUUUAGAUAUCAAUUUUAACCAUACCGUAUAUGCCGCUUACCGUAUAUGCAGCUUACCGUAUUUGCACCUUACCGUAUAUGCAGCUUACCGUAUUUGCAGAAAGCUCACCGUAGUUGUACAAAAUUUUCAUAAACUGUUUUUAUUCCAUUUCAUAUACAGUGAGUGAUUUACACAUAUUUGCUAGAUACCGUAUAUGCAACUAACAUAUCGGAUAUGCAUUUACAUACACCAAAAUGUUGAAAUAUCGUAUUUGCAUAUAUUAGCUAAAUAAAUACCGGUUGGACAAGUACCAAAUCGAAUGUUAUUAAAUUAAUUAAUUUUCUUCAGAUUUUUUUUCGACAUACAGAUAAUAAAAUGUAAAAUUAUAUGAAGCACAUAUAACAAAAUAAACUGAAAAAUCUACGAAACAUAAGAUUAAACUGUAAAUAUGUAAAUAGCUAAAUAAAUAAAUAUGUGAAUUGUAGAAAAUAAAUAAAUCUUCAACCCAAGGCCUGUGCAAACACAUUUUCUUAAAACAAAUCUGUCUCCUCACCGUAAAUGAUUAAGGUCUAAUCCGAGCGUCUGUUUCCUAGAAUACAACGGUAAUAUCCGUAGAAUCUGAGCAUCGCAAAAACUACUCCGGCGAACUGAUUUAGCUUCUGAACAAUAUCAACCCACGACUUUGGACAAAAACUGAGAUUACAUAUACAGAGAGAAAAACUAUGCAGUAUGCAGACUAUAUUUGUGUGUGUAGACACAAUUUCUUUUAUCUCCUAUAUUUUCGAGUAUGCUGGAAUUGCCGAAAGAAUUAUCAAAUUUAAUAUAUAAAAUAAAUCUGUCAUCUGCCAUUAAUUAGGGUUGGAGAUGGUUCAGUUCGGUUCGGUUCCCUUAAGAACCGAAUUGGACCCGAAAUUUUUGGGUACUUAGUAAUUGGAAUCGUCAGGUCCAAAUAUAAUUAUGAAAUCGUUCGGGUUCGGUUCGGUUCGGUUCUGUUCGGUUUAGUACCAUAAUUACAUUUUUUAACAUUUACAACACCACAUAAAUACAACUAAUAACAUGUUGAAUUAUAGCUUUUACAAAUUAACGAAGUCCCAUUAAAAAAUAUAUAAAUAACAAGUUGUCCAAUAACAUUAAUUUACCAAUGUAUACAUAUACCAAAAAGUAGAUACUAGUACUAAAAAAGAUGUAGGACCAUAUGUAGUGUACUAUGUAGUUUAUUUAGGGUUGGAUACUUGGAUUUAGUGGGUUAGACAUUAGAGAUUUAGAGGUGGGCUAAAAAUGGAAGAAUAAAAUGGGCUUGAAUGCUUGAUGUUGGGUUAAAAAAAAAUUAAAAAUGAAACAAUUAAUUGGGCCAAAAAAUUAGAUUUAGAAAAAAUUAAAAUAAUUUGAUUUAUUCAAUAUAAAAAAAAAAUAAAAAAAUAAGGAAAAUUCGGUUCUUAUUCAGUUUUUCGGUUCUUGGUUUAGAACCGAACCGUACUCGUCGGUUCUUGAUUCAGAUACCAAUUCGGGUAUUUAAUCUAAGAAGAACCAUUGGGUUCGGUUUAGUUCGAUUCGGGUUCGGUCGGUUUGGUUCGGGAGUUUUGUCCAGCCCUACCGUUAACUCUGGCAAUAAACAUUGGAGCCACUUCAGUUUCUGCUAGAGUUUUAGUAGUUUUCGAUAACUCAAAGAUUAGUUGAAGAAAGCAAAAAAUUGUAAAACGUGGACACUUCAAACGAGCUAAUUUUUGCUCCGUUCAGUCCAAAAUUCGUGUACCCAGGUCGUGUUCACACACAAGUUCAAGGUCCGAAGGCAAUUUCGGUUCGUUAUUUGCACACCCUGAGCACACACGUGGAGAGAACCUCUAUGCUACACAUGAUUACACAUUUUCAAUGUGCAACCAUAUUUAAAGUGGUUCUUGCUUUCAUAUUUUUCCUAUGUGGGACUAAUGCAAUUUUCCCACUUAAACAAUCUUUCAAUAGUCAUCUUUGAGCUCCAAUUUUUCAUUCAUUCAAGCUUCAUUUUUUACAAGUAAAUAUAUGAAUUUGAUACUCUCAUAGAGUAGAACACGGAUUAACUUUGAUAUUCCAAAUUGGAUCAACGAAUCCCACCGAAAAUAUUGCCAAAGUGAGCUAUUUACUCAUUUUUUCCAACAAAGAAUUCUUGAAUAAUUGAAUUAAAAAGCAUGCUUAUGAAGUAUGAACUUCAGAGCAUUUUCUGUAAUAAAGGCCUUCUGAUAAUGUAAUAAAUCAGUACUACCGAGGGUUAUUUUUACUUUUGUUUUCAUUUUUCAGUUAACUUCAACAAAAGAUUGUUAACUAAAGGUGUAGAGAAUAUAACGUGUAAAAAUUUAAGAUCGAGCCAAUUAAUAUACUAAAAAAAUAAAUAUAUAAUAAAUCAGUGGUUUGAAAAAGAAAUUUAAUUUUUUGGAUAAUAAUUAAAGACAAAGUAGAACCAAUUUUCAUGUUGUUAUUUAUUGAGUUAAUUACUUGUUUCCAACGAAAACUUCUCGGAUAGUCGACAUCUUCACCAAGCCUCUUACACCUCUUUCCUUUCAUGAUUUUCACAAUUUGUUAGGCGGGCAUUAUGUAACACUUGUUUUAGGAUCAUCCUAUAGCACUUGUUAAGAAUCAGAUUCGAAAUUAGAGGUUUUGGUUGAAAAGUUAACCCUAUAAUACGAAACUACAAAAUUCAAUAUAGUAUCAAAAUGCAAUGAACUCAAAUGAGAAAAUCGAUCUGUCUAAAACUCAAUUGAGCAAUUGAAUUCCAAAAUUUGUGUUCUAUAAGAGUCACCAUUUCGUAAGAGUACGCUAAGUGUAAAUCAUGUUGAAAAUGGGUUAGUAGAAGUUUAUUUUGACCAACUUUGAUCAAUUAUUAAGAAGGCGAACUUUAAAAUCCACCUACAGAAACUUUACGCCCAAUCAUUCCGGAUAAAACUUGUGUGUUUUAGUAGUAACAUAUUGUUCCAUGGGGUUAAGGUCCAAAAUAUGGAAGAAAUUUUAUAUAAAAAAUGAGAAAUUAAUAUGAAAAAAUGAGCCACUUAAAACAUAAAAGUGCUCAAAAUUGAAAUUAAAUAAUGCUAGAAUAUUCUAUCAAUCCUGACGCAACUUGUUACCGCAUAAUAUAGAAACUAUUUUAAGAUGUGUUUGAUUAAAUAUAUUUUCCAUGGAAAAUAUCAGUUUUUUACCCAAAUUUCUACUUUCGGUGUUUGAUUGUUAUUUUUUUUCCAUUAAAAGUAUUUUCCAACUUUUGAAAAUAUGCCUAAUUUUCCUUGAUUUUUAAGGAAAAUAUUUUCUUUUGGAUGAGGUGGUUUUGUUUUCCUCAAAGCAAGGAAAAGAUUUUCUUUUCUAGGUGAUAUUAUUCAUUCCAAUGAAACAUACUCUUAGUUCAAAAGUUCUCUAUGAAUUUAGACAUACAUGCCUUCUAAUCGAGCAAGAUUCAUAAGCGUACGUGAUCUUUGACAAGUAAUACAUGAUGAGCUACGAGCGUUGUCCCACAAAGAAUAAAUUCUAAUAUUAGUGUAUUAGUUUUCUAUAAAAUUCGAAUAGUAGUAAUACAAAAGAGAUUUUGGUGAAAUUAUUCUAAAAAAUAUGUAAAUGCGUUGAUUGUAUAGAGGAAUGAAUAUGAUUGUAUUGAAUUUACAAAUCCACAUACUGUUAUCUAUUUCAAUUCUCAACUAUGUAAUUUAAUUUCAUUCAUUCAUUCAUGACAAUCAAAAAUCCUAUGGAAUUUAACGUUCUUUUUAAAGAUAAAUCAAGCCUAUUCUAGACACGAUCCGAUUAUAUUCCUAAUUUAAAUUCAUAUGAAUAGAAUGUAUUCCACAAAGAUUGCACAGUUAUAUAUAUUAUUCCUAAUAUCUAUUGUGCAUAUGCAAAUCAUACAAUGUUCUACUUAUUGUAAGUCUUUUAGCACUAUAGCAAGCAACUAAUUAUCUGAAUGACGGUUAAUUAAUUAAAUGAGAAUACAAGAUUAAUUAAGAAAUGCAAGAGUUAACUAAACUACUUAUUUUGAAUUAAAAUAAAUAAGCAAAAGGAUUGAUUGAUAAGUAUAUUGACACGCUUAUUUAUGAUUGUAAUCUUGAUAAAUUUUGAUUUAUUUUAGUGAAUUUCUACCUAAUUAAGUAAAAUUAUGUGAUUUGUAAGAAAUGUUCAAGGUUGAGCGUAGUUGAAUGCAAAAGUGUGCAAAUGUACUGAUUUUGAGUUUAACUAGAGAUAAAUUCGAGGUCCUGAAGAUCAUUCAGGUUUGCAAUCAAUCAAUUGGAAGAAGUUACUGUAGUAAUUGGAUGAAUUCAUGAUAAUAAGCACAAAAUAGAAGUGUUGGAAAGUUGGAGGACUAAACUGCAAAUAGUAGAAAUCUGCCCACGGUGACCUGUAUGCCAUGGGUAGGCCGCGUUGCUGUCGGUCCGUUACGUUAUUUUUUGUGAUUUUUAAUUUUAAUAUUUUUAUUUUCUGUUGUUAUUUUCGAGUUUAUAUUUUAUGUGGACUCUUAUAUGAGGUGUAAUACCAUAUAAAGAUUUGAAUUAGAUGAGAAACGGGUUCCACAACUCAAGAAUUAGAUACAAACACAUUGAAAAAAAAAAAAAAUAAAUAAAAUAAAAUAAGAAGAAAAAGAAGAAGAAGAAGCAAUAAAUCAAGCUAUCAAGAGUAGUGUUUGAAGCAUUGAUUCGGGGAAGAAGAAGAUCUCAGUAUAAGAUUCAUCUGCUUUUCUACAUCUUCAGUCAAAACCUGGUGAUGUAUUCCAUAAUAAUUCUUUAUUUUUCUUCGUUGAAAAUGAGUGGCUAAACUUUUUGUUAGGACAAAUAAUAGAGUUUAUUGAGACACUUUAAUUCAAUUUUUAAGAUUUAAGUUUUCAAUUUCAUAUGUGUUGAUUUUAUUUAUAUUGUUUAAUGUUUGAAUUACUUUGCCAAUAAUUCAAUGAUUUUGUGAAUUUAUAGCGAGUUGAUAGAUACGUUAUAGGUUUAGACCAAAUAGUAAAAUUUGGGGACAAGUAUAAAGGCAUAGAGAUACAUUUUUUCCUGAAUGUGAUCGUUACAUAUAUUCUUAUAAAUUUAAUGCAUUUAACUAAGAUAUAUAUCCUUAUUCACAUAGAUAUAUAAAACUGAAUUGAAUAAAAAGAAUCACUUUGAACUUGAGAGUGGUAAAUUUACUACAUUAAAAGAAUUCAACCGAACAUGACAUUUACUUAAGAAUCUUGAUUAUAAUAUUAAAGGUGAUUGAUAAAUGAAAUUGUGUACCCUAAUAUCUCCUUCAUAUUAAUAAAAAUAUACUCGAUCUUUGUGUACAUUAUGAUACAUUCAAACGGUUAGUAUUUGUUCGUGCGAAACCUGCAAGCGUACGGAAUCAUUGACAAGUAAUAAAUUUAGUGAAUUGAGAGUAUCGUCCUACGAAAAAUAAAAUGUAAUUGAGUGUAUUAGUCCUUAAUUAGAUUCAAAGUAAACAAAUAAAAGUGAUUUGUGAUUUUUAAUUAAUCUAACUUAAUUUACGAAAGCUUGUAAAAUUGUGAAUUUAAUAUGUAUAUGGAAAUAGUGUAUUGGAUUACAAAUCCACUUAUUAUUAUUUAUUCUAAUUAUUGACUACGUAACUAGUUUCGUUCAUUAUUCUUGAUAAUCAAUAAUUCUAUUGUAUUUAAUUUUUUUUCAAGACAAAUUAAAUCUAUCAUAUUCACGAUUCGAAUCUAUUCCUAGUUCGAAUUCAAAUGAAUAGAACGCGUUCAAUUUCAAAUUUAUCUCAAAAAUUACACACGUGAUAAAUCUUAUUCCUAAAAUUUAUUGCACAUAUGUUAAUGAAGCAGUGUUCUAAACCUAUUGUGAACCUCUCAGUACUACAACAAGCAAGCAUUUAUUUAAUUGGUAAACAAGCAAUCAAAUAAUAAAAUUAAACAUGAAAGAUUAUCAAGAAUUUGCAAGAAUUCAAUUAAGCCAUUUGUCUUGAAUUAAAAAUAAAUAAUAAAGGGUUUCAUCUUCAUCUAAUACAUGAGAGGGAUUACCCUAACAUAAUGUUGGAAUUAAAUACAUAAAAGUGGAACGAAAUCACCGAAAUUUGAUGGAACGUGAUUAAUAUCCAAAUUAAAGCUACCGUAUUUUUCCCAAUAGUUGGCCACUAAUUGUGUUCUGUCGUCCUAAUUCCAACUGGCAGCCGGUAUUUAUGCGUAUCUAUUAUUCUCCAAUUCCCAGUCGAGUACAAGUAGAUGUAUAUGUUCCUAAUUGCUGUGUUUAAUGUAUGGCUAAUUAUAUUACCACUAAAAAUUUUAAUUACUAUACCACAUUAUAAGUACAUCACAAUUAAAAUAUAUUUUUAAUAAAUACACCAUAAUUAAUUUACAAUUAUACUCCUAAUUCAAUAAAAAUUGAAAAUUGAAAAUUGAAAAGGAACAUAAUAUAAUAUUGUGGUGUACUUAUCAACAAUAUUAAUUCUCAUUUUUUCAACAUUUUCCAUCAUUUAUUUCAUAGCAAUUGAAAACAGAAGAUCAGUGAAGAACACCAUGCCAUAAUAAAUUCAAUGUUUGUCACAAAUAAUUAAUAUGUUCGAAAGGAUUUUUUGAAGUUGUCAAUAAUUUGUUUGUAUUACCAUUUUUAUUUGAAAUAUGAAUUUUUAAUGUAUCCGCAAUUUCAUUUCUUAAUCUUGGAAGUCUAUUUUAGAAACACUUUUAAGUGGAAAUUAAGAUAUUUUAUCGACAACAACCUUAUAAUUUCAUGGAUAAAGAGGUUUUAAUAAUUCAUCGGACACAUUUAAAACCCAACUUGAGGAAGCAUUUAUGACAUAUUUUUGAUAAACUAGACAUGUUUCAGAAUUGAAUUAAUAGACAUAAAUUUAAUAUUUGAUUUAUUCAUACUUAGUCAGUAGUAAAGUAUUGUAUAUAAUUAUAUAUAUUGAAGUUGUCAUCAUUUUCCUAACAUUUAGGACAAAUAAAUUGAAUUAUGAUAAGUUAUAAAAAAAAAUUAAAUUUAUUACGAUCCUGUAAAAAAUACAAAAUAACGAUACAAACUUCUUGUUGAUUAAGAACAACUUUCGAAAAUUCAUAUUCCUCAUAGACAAAAAUCCAUGAAAACUGAAGCACCUACAUAUACACAAAUUCAUUUACGGAUUAUCUAUAUACAUGCAAAUUUGCAAUUCAUGGUGAUGAGUGGUGCAGCAUGUGUAUGUCUCACAUGAUGAACGCACGCAAUUCAUGAAAUUAUGGUGAGUAUAUAUACGCGUAAAUUAAUAAACCCAUUUAACAAUUCAAAAUCGUAAUCUUACAUAUUUGUUUUAGAUUCAUAACAAAUCUGCUUAACUUAAACAAAAAAAAAAUUAUAUUUUUAAUUUUCAAACUUGAAAAAUAAAUUCAUUUACCGUGAGGGAAAAGAUUAUCUUGUCGUCGUGGAAAAAGGCAAAAUCCGUAAGAAAAACUAUGAACAAUGAGAUGCUGAGGAAAAUGAAAGAACGAAAUUAGGCUUUAUAUUUGUGAUGUAACAAUAAUUUAUUUAUUUUAAAAGUAUAUUAAAAUUCUAAUUAUGUAAUUUUACUUAAGGAUAUUUUAGUAAAUAAGAAAAUUGUGGUGCACUUAGUAAAAUAUGUAGUGGUAAUAUAAUUAUACUUAAAUGUAUUUGACUUCCUAAUUACCCUUUUCUCCAAUGUUGCUACGUGCUAUAUAUAAUAUUAUUGUGGAAAUUACACCAGAUGUCAACUUUUGGCUUUUCAUUUAGCAAAAUGUCACUUUUUAAAAUAUUUACAAGAUUGUCAAUUUUUGACAUUACUGCCACUCUAAAUAAUUCAAAUACUCUUCAUGUCCUUCAUUAAAUAUAGAUUUGACUAAAUAAAAAAUAGUAUAUAAAUUUUUAAAACAUCACAUUUCUCAUCUCACUAUUCAACUGUAGACAAACUAUCUUCUAGUUAAUGAAAAAAUUGAUGGAGAUUUUCAUUUCCUCUCCCGACCGACUCUAGCUCGUCCCUCCUCUAGCUUCUCGUCUCUCUACUCCAUCUGGACCGGCGACAACGAUGGUCAAGCCCUUUGAUAGUUAGACUGCUUUUCUUCUUCUUCUUUUUUCUUCACUCUUUCACAAAUCAAAACGUGCCGGCCCUUUUUUUCAACCCUAACCGUGUUGUCGCUGUGCCAAGUCCGCCAUCUGUGUGAUAGUAUCUCACUCGCAUCUUCGGCCAGCCACCUACUCCAAGUAAAGGAAAAGUGAAUAUUGUUUGUCUAGCCCUCCAACUUUCUUUAAAUCUACAAAAUCAAAAGGAAAAGGCAAAAAGGGUGAGUCCAAAUUGGGUUUUUGUUCAUGUGUGAUAUUUUAACUUUUUAGAUAAUUGAUUUUAGCUUUUCUGUGAGUUUCUUAAGAUAUUGAAAUAUUCAUGGGCUUCUAAUUGCCUGUACGUGCUUUUGUUUUUCAAAUUUUGAUUUGUUUCUGGAUUUUUAGAUGUGCACAUUUUGCGAUAUAUGAUGGCCAUGGAGGUCGGUUAGCUGCAGAGUACGCUUAGAAGCAUCUUAAUGUUAAUGUUCUUUCAACGAGCUUAUCAUGUGAGCUGGUCUAUUUGUUUGAGAAUUUAGUGUUGUAAUUAUUGAUCGAAUUUUUAUUUUAGAAAACUGCUAUAUUUUACAUUCCAUAAUGGGUAACCGCAGUAGUAUAUUUUGGAAGCCGUUAUUGUUCCCAAUUGUCGAGAAUUACAUAGAUCAUCUGUCGAGAACGAUAUAUGAACUAUCAAGACAUGAUGUUGGUGUUUUGCUUGUGAAUUGUCGUCUCAUGAAAAUCAAUUUUUCAUUACAACAAACUGUCAGUCGAAGCUAAUGGAACCAUAAUGAUCGGCUAAGUUUAUAAUGAAAAUAAUGUACCCAUCCCGUUUGCGCUAAUGGAUCAGUACUUUGCUUGCAAAACAUGAUGACCAAUUUUUUUAUUGGCAUAUGAUAAUACCAACAAAUUAAUAACAUAAGUUCAGAUUGUACACUGCAUAGGGGGAAUAUUUUCGGGAUUAUAUUUGACAAUCACUUUUACCAUCAAUUUAAGUCUUCAUCGUCUCGUAUUUCGACUGAAGGUAUAUUCAAGUUAGGGACUUUGAACUUCAAUUCAAUUUGAGUGCAGGGAUCAAGAAUACCAAGUUUGUUCUUCAAUCUUAACAAAAGUUCGACUACGGUAAUAUUUUCGGCACCAGAAUGCAAGUAGCUUUUUCCCUCUCCACUUCCAUUCGUCAUCCGUAGGAACAAACUUUUCCCCAUGCAACACGAUGAAUCUUCAAUAAUUACUCAUACCUGAAAUGUUGUGAUUGCAACGGUAAGAAUUUAGAAUCAAUAUGUUGGCAUUUAAUAGCAUGAAAGUGGCACUGCAUAAUAAGCAAAUCCGUACAAUAUCAAAAGGUCAAAUCAAGGGUUUCCAUCAUUUUGAAGUGUCCAAAUUGACAGUAAAACUAUAUAUCGUAACAGUUUGUAAAUGUUGGAUUAGAGGUUCGACAUUUCAAAUGUCUAACCCGACGAUUUGUAAAUGUCAAAUUUGACAAUUGUACUGUCGAAAAUGUCGAGAAGCAGAUGACAGUAGGUGGAACUCAGGCUUCUUCAGCACAGUACACUAAGUGUGGUCAUUACUAUUGAGCUACCAUAUCACAAAAUGAAAAUGUCAGAUUGGCCUUAACAUUAAAGAGACAUUUAAUGAAGACAGUGUUUAGUUUGAAUGAAAGAAAUUAUUCAAAACAUUAAUAGUGAUAAUGACAUUUUUCGAAGGACUCCAAAAUCAAACAAAUCAAUGCAUGAUAGUUUCAAAAAUUUCAAAUAAAUAUGCUCAUAUUGUAUUUAACAUUUACAAAACAAAAAGCUAUAAAAGUAAAAUAUAAAUAAUUUGCAUUUGCCGACCUCUCAAAACGGAUGAAGAAUGUAGCAGAAAUGUUUUCUUGAUCAAUGAAAAUGAAGAAGAUGGAGAAAAGUUAGGGUUUGUAGUUUAUGUUUCAUUUUUAAAUUUCUUUUACCAUUUUUUAUUAACAAAAAUUCAUAUUAAUUAAUAAAAUACACAUUUAUCCAUAUUUUGUAUAUAGAAGUAAAAUCAUCAAAUCAAAUCAAUAUUUUUCCUUCAAAUCAAGCAUUAAAUGCUGCUAAAAAUGUGUCAUUAAGCAUCUCGAGGUCAUUUGAUGGGCAUAAAGAAAUCGUCUUGGUAGCAAAGUUAGCUCCGCUGCUGGUCUACAAGCAAGGUAAGUAGGUCCGAUUGAAUUGAAUAAGGGACUGUUCCUUAGCUCCUCCCCCCGAGGAGGACAUGAGGGGGGAAAAAGUGACAUUUUUGCUCACAUAGAGUAAAAAUGACAAAUUUUUUGGAACUUUCAUUUUCCAUGAUAUUUUUGUAAAUUUCCCACAUAUAUUUAUACUAAUUCGCUUCUCCCCUCUAAUUGUUCGCCUAUGUAUGUAUAUAUAAUAUAUACCGGGAGCCGGCAGCCCCCCUCCUUCGUUUUCUACCUUUUUCAAUGUAAUAUAUAUGAUAAUUUCCCCAGAGAUUUGCUACAGAGACCUCGGCCCUUCCCCGCGCCCCCGCCCCCGCUCCCGCUCUCUUUAGCAUUUCUGAUUUCCCGAAGGUUGCAAUUUUUUAUUAUUUUCUCAGCCGCCAGUCACGAGUUUCUCUCUAAGUUAGUCUCUCACUCCUCAUUUUCUCUAAUGCGUGUGGAAUAUCUCCCCAAUUACAGCCGCCAAUUUAUCUUUUUAUAUUGCUCCAACAGUCACCUUUUGUAUUCUUCAAUUUGGACUAUGGACUCCAGGUUAGACUUUGAUUCUACAUAAAAAUUGAAACGAAAGGCCAAUUUAAUGUAUUAUUUUCUUCAGGCCCUCCUUUCUUUUAAAAUAGUGCACUUUAGUCCUUCUUCCUCUCCAAUUACUUCAAACGAGUUCAUUACUAAAAACACAAAGAUAGAAAUUAAUAAUUUGAUGACAUAAAAGUUUAAUAAUAUUGCCUAAAUAAGUACGCAAAUUGUACUUAUCAGUAUAACGUAAAACAACAAUCACUAAACUAUAACUCGUUUUCAUCAAAUAGAAGUGGAAAUAGCAAAAUGGGAACAAAUAAUAGUCUCUAUUGGACCUAUUAUAUGGACUCAAAGGUCCAUUAUAUUAUUUGUUUGAUAUCAUACACUUGUAGUAGGAAAAACGCAUUAUUCUUAUCAUCCAAUACAAAUAAGGAUUUACCCUAAAAUGAUUUUAUAUAAAUUACAAGACAACUAAUGAAUAGAUAUACCCAAAACAUGAACGAAUAUGCAAUAAAUCUUAAUCUUCAAUUCUAAACUCAAAAUUUUCAAGCUCUUGAUGUAAUUGAUUUUCAAUUCCUUUCUAGGUUAAUUUUCUCUACCAAAAAAUGUGAAUUCGCCUCUUGUUCUUGAUGAAUUUUAUGAUAUGAAUGGGUAUUAAGAAGGCUUGAGAGAGAUCUUCAAAUGUAUAGCCAUUGUUUGAUACUUAUAGUCAUCAAAUUUAGGUCAAGUUCGCAUCCAAAUUGAUUUUCAAACAGAAUUUUGAUGUAGAAUGAAAUUAUCCAUCUGGUCAAAAUUUGUACCGUGCAUGCUCAGGGUACAUUUCAUUGCCUUUGCAUUGUAGAAAGAAUUUUCUCUCGGGAUUGCCAAAAUAAGGUCUCGCGCACUCACUCCCUCACGUGUGGUUGUCUCUCAGCAGUCGUCAGUAUGUUUGUCAUAUUCUUUUCAUCCGACAUACAAAUGAGGCAAUUCAAAUUGCUUUGAAAAUCUAACUCAAAAGGCUCAAUUAUUCUAUAAAUGAAAUUUUUUUUUUUCAAUUCAAAUGUCUACCAUGCGAAAAAUGGAUCUAAAUUUGUGGCUGAAUAUCUAAAGUAUAAUUUUUACGGAUGGAAAUUGAUUACUGAAAAUAUUUUUAUUAUAUUUCAAUGCUUCACCCCUUUGACUUCCAAUUGCAUCUCAUUGAUUCUAUGUAACCUUCAAUCAUCAUUUGUGGUCCGUAUCAACUACUUUAUACUUAAAUUUAGGUUCCCAAACUUAAAGAAGACUAUAAAGUUCUUUGACGGAACUUUUGAUAAAAGUUGAGGAAAUAUGUGUUGCAACAUUGAUAAAAGAUGUGGAUCCCAUGAAAUGUAUUUAAAAUUGAGGUUUAACCAUUUGAAAAGUUGAUUUCUGCAAAGUUUUAUCAAACAAAUAAACAUUGGUCAUAAUCAACAAUAUAUAUAGCCAAAUUACAAGUAAAUUACACGAAUUUUCUAUGGUUGUGAUAAUUUUAUUUUUUAGGGUCAAAAUUAUCAAAAUAAAAAAUUAGGAGCAUCAGUGAUAAUCAACAAUAUCUCUAGCCUAUGAUAAUCAUACUUUAAUUUUGUUCUAAAAGUAAAAAUUAUCAAAAUCCAAGAAGAAUAGGUGCAUUGGUGGCAGUCAACAAUAUAUCUAUAAUCUAUCUGAAAUUACAAAAUUACGUUAAUUUUUUAUUUAUUUUAUUAUUAUUAUUAUUAUUAUUUUUUUUUGUGAUAGUGAUAAUUUCCUUUUAUUUUAAAAGUCAAAAUUGCCAAAAUCUAAAAAGAUCACUAUAUGCUGUUUCUCAUGUAAUUUAUUACUUUUAAUAAGACAUUGCUGCAUUAAUCUGAUUUAUGAAAUCUAAAAUAUGCAUAAUUGUAGAUUUUCAUAAUAAGGUUUCUCAAACUAAUUAAUGUGGGUAGAGAUUUCGAAAAUUACACUAAAUUCAUACAAAGUUUUUUGUGAUUUUGAUAAAUUUUUCCCACAUAAUGAAUGGCUUAAUUGGUAAGCUUAGACUAAAUCAAGGAAAGCGAGUAAAGAUUACAUGAAUUUCUUACUCAAUCUUUCAUGAUUAUUUUUACCGUUUGAAAGAAACGGAUUUGUAUGCUUAGCCUAUAAAUAUCGUUGAGAUUUCUGUCAGCAUUAUAAUUUAGUAUAAUCACUAGAAACAUGUAUUCGAAAAUGUUAAGCUUUCUCCUUGCGCUCUUGGUGAUUGAGUCAUGUUCGUCUUACUUUUUCUAUAUUUAUGUGUAUGAUACGAUCACAUGUAUGUGUGUUCAUAUACCAAUUCAUUUCUAUGUUUAAGAAUUCAUUUGUUUGUUGCAGGUGUUUUACUUGAUGUUGAAGCAAGAGGAGGUGUGGUUGUUCUCCAUUGUACGAGUGACCAGGAUUGCAGCAUAAGUUGUCAGGGAAUUGGUGCGCCGAAGUGCAUCAACACACUGUGCAAAUGUUUGCCUCCAGUCCCAGGCGGCAAGAACAAGUCUGGUGUUAAUAAGGAAUUCUUGAAUAAUUGAAUUGACGAAGCAUGCUCAUGAAGUAUGAACUUCAAAGCAUUUUCUGUAAUAAAGGCUUUAUAAUAAUUGGUGGGCAUUCUGUAACACUUGUCUUGGGAUCAUC
Molecule: long non-coding RNA, 47064 nt
Filed under: Olea europaea (common olive)
Lineage: Eukaryota; Viridiplantae; Streptophyta; Magnoliopsida; Lamiales; Oleaceae
Description: long non-coding RNA (OEUR_LNC009783)
Source: RNAcentral